UCUGUUCACCUUAAGCACAGAUGCAACUGUCAAAACGCAAAUGCGGGAGAAGGAUCUAUCUUUCUCUUCUAUUUCUCUUCUUAUGUUUUGAGAGUCGCUCGAAUUCGGAAACUGUGGGAUCGAUCGAAAGGAGCAGAUGGCUAAAAUGCCAUAAUGUAGAAAAAAAAAGGGCAAAAUGCCAUAAUUGUAAUAAUUAAUUUAAUUUUGAUUUUUGUUUAAAUUCAAAACUUUGGAAAAACCUACACUCACCUUGAUAUUUCGAUUUAUUUACAGUAAAAUCAGGGUCAAACCCAUCUAGUUUCGGUUAAUCCAUUAACCCGACUCAUUCAAAAUUAUUUUAAUUAUUUAAAUUAAAUAUUUAUGAAAACCGUUUUUUCUUUUCAUUUUCUAGGUUUUCCUCUUUUCUCUUCCUUUUCUUUUCAUUUAUUUGGAACGAACCCGUCUGAAAAGAACUCGUCUGAAAACCGUCUUCUUCAUUCUCACUUCUUCAUUCACACUUCUUCGAGAAACCGAUUCGCGAAAACACAGCAAAACUGUUAAAGCAUUAGGGCUUUAUAAACUUGUAGAAUCGUUUUCUUCUGGCGAAAAUCGCGAAAAGGGUGAUUCCCGAAUCUCCGAUUUAUGGCGAAGGUGAGAAACAAAGGUCAAGUGUAUGAGUCUUCUUCUUCAGCGGCGGAAGUCCAAAACCCGCCGGAAAACGAAAAAGAGAGACCUGAAAGUGGGCCGGAAGGAAAUGCGGCUGAAAUUGAAGACCCAGAAAACGGGAACCCUAACAAUCCGGCGGAAGGGAACCCGACUCCGACGGAAAUUGAGGAACCCCGGCGGGAAGGAAGGGCUGCGGAGGAAAUCGCAGACCCACAAAUCGAGAAUCAUCCUGAAAUUGAGAACGCCGAAGUGAGCAUGGCCACACCAACGGCAAACGAUGGUGACGGGGAAUUAGCAGGAGAAGAUGUAGCAGAGGAGAAGGAAAAUGAUAAGGAAAACGAAGAGGAAGUGGAAGAGAACCAAGAGGAAAAGGAAGAGAACAAUGAGGAAGAGGAAGAGAACAAUGAGGAAGAGAACAAUGAGGAAGAGAAAGAGGAGGAAGAGGAAGAGAACAAUGAGGAAGAGAAAGAGGAAGAGAACGAAGAGGAACCCAACCAAGAGGAAGAGGCGAUAGGAGGUGAAGAGGAAGAUGGUACUGCGCCUGCGCAAGAGGAAGAGGAAGCGGAAGAGAACCAAGAAGAGAAGGAUGAAGCGCCAGCCAAUGUCAACGAAGAGGAAGGAGAAAUGCUAGAGGAGGAAGGAGGAAUGCAAGAGGUACGUUUUAGACUCCCAUCCUUCGUAAUCUUGUAGAUUAUUGUCUGUUUGGUAUGUAGACAACUAGGACAACUAUGUAGUAACAUGUAUGUUUGGGCUGCGGACAAAUAGGACAAUUUUGUGGCUUAAGAUUUUUUUGGUAUUAGGACAACUGGGACAACAUAUAGUUAUAGUGUAUAGGACAACUGGGACAACUUAGAAUUAUUGAACGUGUGUGGACAACUGGGACAAUUACUCGUUUACAGUAUUUAUUGGACAACUGGGACAACUUGUCGGACUAAUAUAUAUAGGUUACUAUGGACAAUUGGGACAACAAGUUUAACUAAUUUAUAUUACUCUUCUGAAAUUCAGGAUGCCGAUGAUGAAAUGAUGCCAAUGGGGCCUGAGAAGCUUUAUUUUGGUCCAAGCGAAUAUAGCAAGGCGUGUAAGAUAAUUACAAGAUGUGCAGUUAAGAGUGUACUUGAUGUGAUCGGGGAGCUACCUGAAGAGAUGGAGUGGUUCAAAUCGCAUCCGCAAUUCAAGCACCUGUUUCAUAUGUAUAAGGAGCCAAAUCAUAUGAAUCAAGGGUUGUGGAUGCUUCUUCUUCACACAGCUUAUACUGAGAAGCAAAAUGAGGCGUGGUUUGUGGUAAAUGGAGCGUCUAUUCGAUACUCUUUGAGGGAGCAUGCACUGCUAUGUGGUCUUGCCUGCCAUGACUACCCUGCGAAUUAUAAGAAGUUGGGUAAGCUGAACUUUGUAAAAAAGCAUUUUGGCAGGGAUGACAAAAUCAAGAUCGGAGAAGUGGAAGCAAAGCUAGCAGAAAUGAAGGAACCCUCUUUGGACAGGAAGAGGAUGGCACUACUUUUGUUUUAUGCAAAGUAUUGAAGGCGAAGUCAAAGCUUGACGGAAACAUUGACCAAUUCUUGCUCGCAGCAGCCGGAGAUCUGAAGCUGUGCAAAACGUUUUCUUGGGGGCGUUACAUGUUUGACGAGACUAUAAGGGAGAUCCAGCGUGUGGUUACCAAGUUCAAUGGCAGCGUAAAGCCUAAAGGAGAUGAAUGCACAAUCGGUGGUUUCAUUCUUCCUCUACAGGUAUGUCUUUGUUAAUAGAUUAUCUGUUUGGUAUGUGGACGACUAGGACAACUUUUUAGAUUAAUAUAUGUUAACAUGGACAAGUAGGACAACUAUUUAGUUUGUAAUUUAAUUUGGUAUGUGGACAACUCGGACAAAUGGGACAACUAUUUAGUUAGUAAUUUAAUUUCAGGUAUGUGGACAACUCGGACAAAUGGGACAACUAUUUAGUUGUAAUUUAAUUUGGUAUGUGGACAACUAGGACAACUGGGAAAAAUAUUCAGAUUGAUUUAUGUUUUGACUUUGUAGAUUCUUGCGUUUGAGUGCAUUCCAAGUCUGGGAAAGAGGUUUCGUGUAGCUGUCCAUGCUGAGCCUAACUCUCAUACCAUCUUCUCCAUCAGCUCGGUAAUAUGAACUAUCCCAUGAGUGCCUAGAAGAAGAAGAACCCGAACUAUAGCUUGGCAUCUUGUUGUCCAGCGGCGGCCGCUAAACCCUAGAUUGAGCUUUCGAUUUGGGGGAAAUUCUGUUUUUUCUUCUCUAAGAAUUUCCUUAUAAAGGAGCCUACUGAUCAAAACGCUGAGUUUCAUUCUAAUAUUUGCCGGCGCCGCAAAUAUUAAUUUAACACGUGCUUAACGCGCUCAAUACCGAAAAUAACACAUAGUUGUACCGAUACGUCCUGUUGUCCAAAAUUGGUCAUAGUUGUCCAUUUUGAUUAUUCUACUUGUCCGGUAACAUAAAUCUGUAUUAAAUAGUUGUCCAGGGGACGAUAGACUCAUGGUUACUAUUUACUAUUACAUUGCAAGAUAAUUUGAUCAAAAUCAUAUAAAUUUCGUUUUGCCCUUUGUAAGAUGCUCCAUUAUGAAAGAGUUACAUGUAUCAUAUGAGGAUGUUGAUGUGAAACCCAUACAUUGUUUCAACAAACCGAUAAUAUCAAAGAGUUACAUGUAUCAUUUGGUUUAAUUUGUUAGGUUAACAAGAAACCUUACGUAGUUGUACCAACUUGUCCAGAAAUUCAGUACAUAUAAGAAAUACAAAAAAACAUAACGUAGUUGUACCAACUUGUCCAGUUGUCCCAAAAAAUGCGAAAUCCAAAAAAACUCUAAACAUAACUUAGUUGUACCAACUUGUCCGGUUGCACCUGAGAGUUAAACUACAUCAAAAUACAAAAAAACAUAACGUAGUUGUACCAACUUGUCCAGUUGUCCCAAAAAAUGCAAAAUCCAAAAAAACUCUAAACCUAACUUAGUUGUACCAACUUGUCCAGUUGCACCUGAGAGUUAAACUACAUCAAAAUACAAAAAAACAUAACGUAGUUGUACCAACUUGUCCAGUUGUCCCAAAAAAUGCAAAAUCCAAAAAAACUCUAAACCUAACUUAGUUGUACCAACGUCCGAGAUGUAUUCCCGGUUGUGACUUGUUACAUCCUUUACGGCGAGCUUCUCCGGUAGAGGGAUAGCGCUUAUCUCGCUUUCUUCCACGUUUCUUAGUGUAAUCCGGUGGUAAAACGACUAACUUCUGGAUUUCAUCAGGGAUAAUCCAUGUAGACUGAUGUGGCACCAUAUAAAUAGUCCUGUAAUAAGCCAGGGCCCAAGUAUCAAUGUGGUAAUAUUUUGAGCACAAUUCAUGUAAGUGGAUUUCUCUUCUUCUCUCAGCCGAACGCAUCAUUGCAAUGUCAGCGGCUAUUGCAUGAACACAGGGAAUCUUGUCUAUAUCAAAACGCCUACAGCUACAAUAUUUACUUAACAAAUCGACCAGAUAACUCUUCCCAUCAUCUCCAAUCACACUGUAUUCCAGAUGAGUAGCGUUAAGCUCAGUGACAAAUAAUCUUGUACCAAUUGCACAUAGACUAUGCAACUGGUUCUCAACAUAGGGCACCAAUGUCUUCGAAUCUGAUGCAUAUGCAGUGUCUUUCCUAUGCUUGUUGAACCAUUCAGAGAUUUUUUCAACAUAUGCAUCAAUCAACGGUAAUAAGGCAUACUUCCUUGCCUUCUUGAAGACACUAUUCAUAGACUCACAUGCAUUGCUUGUGUCCAAGUUGUACUUGUCUUCUUUAAAGAAGCACCUUGCCCAUUUAUCAACCGCAACAUGCUCAUCUAAAUACUCAGCAGCUUUUGGAAACCAUAUCCUAAAAUCAGUGUACGCACAUAGGAACUCACUUUCAGUGUAUUUGUGAGCGCAUUCUCUGAAUUUUACUGCACACAAAUCUUUGCAGCCAAUCCCAGCUUUCCCUCUCACGUUUUGCGACAAAUGCCAAAUGCAAUAUCCAUGCUGAGACUGAGGGUACACCUCCUUCACUGCUCCAAUGAUGCUCUUAUGUCUGUCACUCAUAAAAACCAGUUCCUUAUCAUCAGGUAUAACAGUUUUGAGUGUUUCAAAAAACCACUUCCAACUAGCAUCUUUUCACUAUCAAUAACACCCAUUGCAAUUGGAUAAUGGUGAUGAUUAGGAUCCUGCGCUGUGGCAAAUACUAGCAGACCACCGUACACACUCUUAAGAAAGGUCGCAUCCACAACUAUGACUUUCUUCAUUGCUCUAAAGCCUUCAAUACUAGCGCCCAAAGCGACAAAGAGAUACUUAAACUUAUUUUUGGCAUCCAGUUUCACACUGGUUAUUGUCCCAGGAUUAACAAGCUGUAACAUGUAAAGAUAACAAUACAACUUUCGAUAGCUUUCUUCUGGACUGCCCCUCACUUCACUAAUAGCUAGUUUUUUCCCUCUCAAGGCUGUAGAGUAUGACACAUUCACGUGAGCUUCAUUUUGAACAACUUUAAUCAAAGCUUUGGGCGCAGGGGUGUCUACUUCUCCUGGAUAGCACCCACGCAAAACAUCUGCUACUACUUGUGGUGUGCCUUUCCUUUUAUUCCGAAUUGUGCUCGAAACAACCCGAGAGCAGGUAUGGAUAUUCCUAUACACCUUAAUACUGAAAUACGUAGAAUCCACAAUUCGUACGGCGUGUAGAUACCAUGUACAACCAAGUUCAGCUUGCCGGCAUCUUAGUGUGAGUCGCCCUGUAUCUGACUUUACCGUUUUUACCUCAAAACAGCCCUUAUGUGAAGCUCUGUCGACCAAAACGCGCAAAGCCUCCUUGGAUCGAAAUUCUUGACCUUUUUCAAACCCAGCUCCAUCCUCCCAUUCUAGAACAAACUGAGUUUGUUCCACAGGCCGUAGAGGCUUAACAUGAUCAUGUUCAUCUACAUCUUCAUGCAUGCCACACUCCGCAUUCUCCUCUGGUAACGCAAUUUCACAGCUUACCCGUAAAUCAACAUUCUCCAUCCUCUCAGUUUGUCCCUGUUGUCCCUCAAUUUCACAGCUUACCCGUAAAUCAACAUUGUCCAUCCUCUCUGGUUGUCCCUGUUGUCCCUCUGCUUCUUCCGGGUUGUAAACAAUCAACUGGUCUCUUUGUUGUCCUUGUUAUCCCUCAAUAUCAGGGGCGUCUUCUGCUCUGGGAAGCUCUUCACUCUCUAUAUCUUCCAUUAGCUCCACAUUCAAAAUGGCUCUAAGUCCCUCUUUAUCCACUGUCGUAAGAUACACAUAAACAUCACCAUCAUCAACAAUACAUGACUCUCUAAAAGGCUUAGCUACCAACGGAAUAUAGCUCAAUUUCAGAUUCCUCAUACUGUCAUUCAACCCAAUCUUCUUGCAUAUACCAUCUACAAGCACCGAAUAGGUUAACUCCUCCAUAGAUAAGUUUCUAAAUGAUAUAGCAUAUAUGGAAUUUUUAGAAUUCCAUUUAAACUCUUCUCCUUUCGGUGAAUAAUAUCCUCCAUACUCAAAAUAUAUGUUUGUGGGCCUACUCAUUCUCUCCUGCAAAUACAAAAAAAACAAAUUAAAAAUAUUGCCAAUUGUCAGCUUUCUCUCAAUUUGUACCUGUACCAGUUGUACCAGUUGUCCCACUUUCUAAAGUUCUACCAAUUGUACCAGUUGUCCCAGUUUCUAAAGUUGUCCCAUUUGUACCACUUGUCCAAUCUAUCUAAGUUGUACCAGUUGUACCAAUUAUCCCGACACUCUUAGUUAUACCACUUGUCCCAAUUCUCGCAAAUCUGACGGAUUCAUCAUUCACAACUUAGAAGACUACGAUUUAGCUCGAUUCACCAACAACCAUCCACUAAUCGACCCAUAUAGUUGUCUUAAAUAUCCAAUGUGCAUGCUAAAACUAACAAAUUUCACAAAUCGACCCACAAAAUUAUAAAACCCCAAAAUCAUACCUGAUGCUUCGCAAGGAGCUCACUCGAGUUCAGAAAACGAAGUCGUGCUGUACAGGAGGACGACGCGGUGGCUAAUACGUCCCGACGAGCUGGGUCACGAGUCCAGCGCAAGAUUCAGCUCGGAUCGGACAAAUCCAAUUUCUCAGAAAUGUCCAAUUCGAAGAGAGAGAGAGAGGAAGAGAGAGGAAGAGAGAGGAAGAGAGAGAGAGUUUUGUUUUUCUUUUUUUUUUAAUUAAACCAAUAAACCAAAAACAAAAAUUCAGCAAUGCCACAAUUACUUUUCAUUAAGGACAUAAUAGGGUUUUCACUUCAUUUAUGGCACUGAGACUCUGUUAUGGCACUGAAGAUUUUUUCCCUUCGUUUUAUGGCAUAUUGGCCAUUCUUUCGAUCGAAAAAGAAGAGAGAGCUCCGAUCUACUGCGUCGGCGGCACAAUUUUUAUGCUGUGCUCUAGAGGCUAUGAUCUUGCGAGAGACUGCCACGUCAUAUCACUGAAAUUUAGCAGUAACUGGUUGGAGAAAUGAUGUCACAAAUUAAAAAGUUGAAUUUAACUUUUAAAUACUGUAAAUAGAUAGAUAAGAUGUACAUCCUUUGGAUUAAAUACAAUCAUGAUAAACAUAGAUUUUUUUUUUUUUAUUAUGUGUAUCCUUUAUAAAACCAUAACUUUUGUAUGGCUUAAGGCUUUGUAAUAUUAUACAUUUCAAACAAAAACACACUAUAAGUGUCUGGUCAAAAAUCACUCUUAACAAUACAAACUGCAAUUCUUUGACUCAGAAUGAAACAAACAAAAGAACAAAGCCUUAGCAACAGAUUUGAAGGCAGAGAGAUAGAAAGUUUUAAUAUAUGAGAAGUGUGUGUGUGUGCGUGUGUUUGGUUUUUCAAAACUGAGGAUUGCGUCUCAUUGAACCUCUAUGCAUUUCUUCACUACUUGAAGCAGAAGGAUUCAAGCCAUACUCACUUGUUGCACCAUAUUCACUGCUUUGAUACUCUUUACUCUCUAAUGCCAAUUUCCUGAAUUUUUUCAUGUCUGCACUGUACGAGCUCGCGUCAUACUCCGAGCUCACGCUCCCUGGGCUCAAAUACGUGUUUUGUCCUGGUUUCCCUCCUUCACUUAGAUCGUCCAUUGAUACAUCUGCUUCUAGUGCUCGUACAAUCUUUCAUUAUACAUACAUGUUCCAAGAUUGAUACGUAUGUCACAAUUAUCAUCAAGACUGUGAUUGAUGGAUAACAAAAGAGUUAAGAAUGUGAAUAUUUGAAACCUGGCUCAUCUUAGGUCGUCUUCUUGCGGAGUGUCUGAUGGCUGCAGCUGCACAAGAAGCCAUUCGAGCCAUCUCUUGUUGAUUGUAGUUCGUCUCUAGACGUGGAUCUGCUAAUUGGCUGUAAUCUCCAUCUUGAGCUGCUUUCAAACACAGAGGCCUUGCCUGCAAAUACAAAUGGUAACAUUAGGAUUUUUGUUUUCUUUUUUGGGCAAGUGUCUGGGGAUAAAUAAACCAAAGAAAACGGGCCAGCUUACCCAAUCAACCAAACUAUCUUCCAUUUCUCCAGUUAGAUCCACAGGAGGCCGUCCGGUUAUGAGCUCAAGAAGCAUUACUCCAAAAGAGAAAACAUCAGAUUUGUCGGAUAGCUUGCCACUUGACGCAUACUCUGGAGCUAAAUAUCUGAUUCAAAGCAGAUGUUGUUAAGACGUAUGAAACAGCUAGUGUGAAUAAAUCCCCUAUAAGGAAAUGAUAUUAAGAUAGUUUAAAAAGCUGUUUACCCGAAAGUUCCCAUGACACGAGUGGAGACAUGAGUAUAGUUGUCUUGAGAUAGCUUAGCUAAUCCAAAAUCUGCCACCUGCAUAUAUAUAUAUGCACAACAGACUCAUCUACGCAGAUUCUAGAGAGUAUAUGAGAGAAAUCAAAGUAAUAAUAGUAUAAGGGUCAAUAUAUAUACCUUGGUUUCAAAACUGAAAUCAAGAAGAAUGUUUGCUGCUUUGAUAUCUCUAUGGAUAAUGCGAGGAUGACCUAUAUCAUUGAUGUAAUAAAACAUACAAUCUUUCAUUUCUUACAGAGAGCGAGAUAGAAACUAUAUCGGGGAUGAGAGAAAGAUUAAAUUACAAUCUUCGUGCAAAUAUGCAAGGCCUCUAGCUGAUCCCAAUGCAAUCUUCACUCGUGUAGGCCAUUCCAAAACAGGACGACCCUUUCCUGAAAAUUUUCAAAUCAUGCUAUUGAUAACAGAGAAACCAUACUUAAAAGUGUUAACUCAAACUUAUAUUAUAUAUGUUAGAACAAUGUACCGUGAAGAUGGAAUUCAAGAGUGUUAUUAGGUAGAAACUCGUAAACCAAAAGCCUUUGACCACCAGAGAUGCAAUAUCCAACAAGAGAAACGAGAUGGCGAUGAUGGACACGACUAAUAAUCUCAACCUCUGCUUGAAACUCGCGUUCUCCUUGUCCACUCCCAAGUUUAAGACUCUUCACUGCAACUUCUUUGCCACUAGGCAAAACCCCUUUAUGAACAUACCCAAAUCCUCCUUGUCCUAGCAAAUUUGACUGAGAAAAACCUUCUGUUGCAAUGGACAGUUCGUCGUAAGUAAAAGUGCUUUGGUUAUGACCAAGAGUCACAGCUGGAGGCGACGGUGUAGCAGCGGUCCGACCGGUUAAGUUUGAACUGUCGCUAUGAGGACCGGACACAGGUUGCUGUGGUCCCCAAUUCCCACCACCUUGAGAAGCCAUAUUCACUACAUGAUCUUGACGUGUUCCAUUGUUGUAAUAACCACCAUUUCCUACACUAUGCAAACAACUAAGUUAGCUUCUAAAGCCUAAUACUUUACCAAGUUUGAUUUACACUAGCAUUUGAUUACCAUUGGGAGCUCCAAAGGGACUGUUAUUGUAGUAGUGCAUGUGGUUGACUUGAGGGGAUCUUUUCUUCUUCUUCUUGUUGCAACAGAUGCAAAUAAGCACAAGAAGAAGAAGCAAUAGCCCUGCUCCGACAAGGACUCCAAUAAUCAAACCAAUGUUGGCUUGUUCCCCUGGUUGUAAUAAUGCGUCUGAAUCUCCACUAUUCCGAGGAGGGCUAAUUGACCGAGGCGGUGAAGGUGAGCCACCGUCGCUGGAAUUUCUGUUCCCGGACGGUGGAGACGGUGUGAAGACGUUGCUACCAUUGGUUCUGUUACGGUCGUCAAUGGCACCAGGAGGAGGAGAAGGAGGAGAUGGUGUUUGUGAAGGAGGUGCUUGGUUCGACGGUGUUUGAGGCGGUGCCGGUGGCGUAACCGGAGAAGGAAUCUCUGGAGUUUGCGGUGGCGGAUUACCUACAGCCGGCGGAGAUGGUGGUGAUGAAGACGACGGAGGAGGAGGUGAGGUUUCCUGGCUCGGCGGCGGUGGAGAAGCCGAGAUAUUGUUGUUUGGCGGAGGAGCAGAAUUCGGGGACGGUGGAGACGGAGCGACUGGUGACGGCGGAGAUGACCCAUUUGACGGCGGAGAUGUCUCAUUUGACGGCGAACCUGCAUUGGGGGUUUCCGGGGAAGGAGGUGAAUUCUCCGGCGAGUCCGCCAUUGAUGAUGAAUAUUUCUCGGUGAAAGGUUUCUCAACGGUGGAGAAACCUUCGCCCCGGUGAUCCUCGACGCAACAGCCUUGUUUUCCAAGCAACACGAAUUAGCUUAUGCGAAUUGAAACCCAGAAAUUAAUACAUGGUUUGUGAACAAAGGUAGAGAGAGAGAGAAAUUGAGAGAUCGUCUACAAUGGUUUUCUCUUUGUGUUUGGAGAAAUAGCUUCUCCUACAAUGGAGGAUAAAAGUUUCACUAUAAUUAGCAGAAAAAUCGUCUCUCUUUUCUCUACCAUCUAUUUUUACUCUCUCUCUCCCUCUCUCUGUGCUACUUUUGCAUGUGUGCCGUUUGAAGUUUGAACAACCAAACCGGUUUAUAAACAUAAUACCCGAACCAUGUAUAGAGCAAAACCAACUCUCUCAUUGGCGCGGGAGUUAGCAAAUGACAAAAGGAAGUGAAUGUUUAGCUCAAUAACUGCAUUAGUAGUCAACAAUGUCAAAUCAAAAGAAAGUGAAUGUUUAGCUCUUAAAAUCGACUUUCCAAGGUCCUCACUUCACUCAGUACUGAUAAUUGCUCACAGAUCUUUUUCCCUGAUGAUAUGAACUUUAACUGCAUAAACCAAACCUUGCCUGCGAAAGAGUUCACACAGUAUGCCAUCUUCUUUCUUCAAACUGUUCCUUUUGCAUAUGCGCUGCCAUUUUUUGAUAUACACACGUUGAUCUUUCCACAUUGUUGUUUUCGCUUCUAGCUUCCCGUUUUUGUGAUUGUCUAUGUAGUAAAUAUUUUUUUCAAACUUCAAGGAAUAGUCUUUCACUAACUGUGCAUGGAUCAACUGUAUUCCAAGAUAGAAAAAGAAUACAAUUACAUUGACUAAACAUGUUUACGUUAAAAAAGCAAUAUACAAAGAAAAUUUAUUGCAAUCCUUACCAGCUCGUAUAUCCUCUUCUUCACGCCUGUCUCAAAAUAUAUAUUCCUUGGAUUAUCCAAAUAUGCCUCUGGAUUUUUGAUCUUGGGCUUUACUGUUAAAAUUCCAAAAUCGAAUGUUAGCUCAAUAAAACUCAAAUGAGCUAGAGCUAAGUGAUGAAAUUACGCUUAACUCUUGAAUUACCUCUCUCCCUUUGUAGUUUUACAGAAUCAUCCACAUCUUCAGUUAAUUUAGACUUUCCUGGAAAACCAGUGUCUGUUUCUGUUUCCGUGUCUGUAUAAAUACUGUCUUCUUCGUCGUCAUCAGACUCCUCCACAACUCCAACUUUCGACUUUCCUGGAAAGAUCACAAGAGAAAGAAAAAGAACGUGUGUAUAUUAAGCAGUUUACAUACAACGGUCUCAGGGAUGAAAAUAAGGACCCAACAAUGUGUGGUAAACCUUUGUUCUUGCUUCUCGGGAUUGUAGUGACCACCUCGGAUUCAGAAAUAGCAUCUGUGUCGUUGCUGCUAUCUUCCUCGUCGUCGUCAGCUUCAGUGACUGCUCUAACCUCUUUACAUCCAUCAGGGCCAUAGAUGCUGACCUCGAAAAUGCGGUCUCCAUUAUAGACGAAGGUCAGAAAGUCUCCGUCGCUGAGAGAAUUGUCCUCAACGAAUUUGACCCAUCCUUGUUCAAAAUACACCUCAUCUUGCUUCCUCUUCAUCGCCACGUUCCAUGAGCAUCCACCAGUUCCUUGGAGAAUCGCCGUUUUGGGCAAACGAGGUGGAAGUUCAUCAUAGUAGGAAAUGGGGAUCAGCUGCUCAACACAUAAGAAGAGGUAAGCAAAGACAUAAAGUAGGAGACUUCGAAAUCCAAUUUAGAAGGAAACCUCUCUCUAUAACAGAGGCUUAUCCACACACAGAAGGUUUGGUUUUUACAUUAGAGGAUUUACUAGUCAAAACAUUUGCAUCUAUUUAUGAGUAGAUACACUAAUGAAGGCGAAAAUCUGAGUGAAACAAUCAUGUUCAAACAUCUCUAGUGCAAACGUCCAUAAAUGAAAAAAUGACAUCUUUACUAAAACAAAACUAACAAUUUCACAAGUUUACCACUCAGAGGAAAGCAAAAGGAUGAAAAUGAGCAAACCCACAAACAAACAAACAAAAUGAGAAAAGAGAUGUCCAUACAAAAGCAAGUCAAAACAAACUCAAGACAUUUGUAUCUAUUUGUGGACAGGAAAAACUAAUCAAGGAACAGAUCUGAGUUUCAAACAUCUGUCUAGUGCCAAAGUCCAUAAAUGAAACUGAUUCAUAUGUAAAAAUAACAUCUUUACUUAACAAAACUAAAAAAUGUCACAACUUCAUCACUCAAAACAGAAGAAUGCAAAAGGGAAGAAACAGAGGAAAACCCUAGGAAGGGAUAAGAAACAGAAAAUAAUUAUCUACACAGAAGCUUCCACUGAAGAUGAAGCCGAAGAAACAAACCCAAAUGAUAGUAGUUGCAGUUCAAGAGUGGUUAAAGAGACCAAGACAAUACAAAGGCAAAGGGAGAGAAUUUAUGUUACCAUGGAAUUGGAGCUGAAAUGGGAGAUGAAAACCUUAAAGAAACGCGGAGGAGUAUCAGUGUCAGCCAUUGCGAGAGGAUUUCGAAACUGUGAGAGAGAGACGACAGAUUCUUCACGUAUGAAGUUAAAAGGAAAAUGGGAACAGCUAGAGAGAAGAGAGAGGGCGUUAAGUAGACCAAUGAUAGUAGGAGAACAAUUCCUAAUUCGUAAACAUACUUGGGGCAAAAGUAAAACGUUUUGAGAUUUGAAGGAUGGAAAGGUAAAUUAUAUUAGUUAUUUUUUUUCUUUCAAUCUAGCCCUCUUUUUUUUUUCCCUCUCUCCAUUUCCCGCGCUCUUCUCUUCUCUCUCUUUCCCCGUUCUCCAUUUAUUUUCUCACACCUCUAGAUGUUUCAUAAACGAAUUCAGGCCCGGCCCAAUAAGUUAACAAUAGUUACAAGUUUAUGUUGAAAAUCAAAGAUCUACUAAUAUACAGUUUGUAAGAGAAAUUAAAUAGUUGCGUUCUUGGAAUGUUGAAAAAGGUAACUGACGAUAUACGAUCAUGAAGCUUCAUAUUUUUUCUUCCUACUAUGUGUUUUGGGCAAGUUACUAUUAUAUUUUUAGUCAAUUUCAAGUACUGAAGAUAUCAUAUGUAAUCUCAACCUGAAAUUCAUAAACUAUCUAUAUGAAAAGUUUUGUGUAUUUGUGUAUAACCAUAAUCCAUAAAAACAUUCCCACCUUUUGCGGAUUCCAUAUAUAUCUCUGUUCAACGUUACAGAAAGUUCAAAGAAGCAUAAAUAAAACACAUUCACAGAUCUCCAAAUGUUCCAUUCGACUGUUACAUUAAACAUUAAUUGAUGGGUCUAAAACCCCUAACUAACUUCGUCUCCUACAUAAGUCCGAUAAAUCUCCAGAAAAUAAACCAAGCUCGAAGGUUGUACCUGGGCUUUUAGAAAUAGAACAUCAACAGCUACCUCGCGAAUCUGAACACUAUGAUGUGGAACCACUAAACCGAAGAAACAUUGUCUGAACCUGGAGGUGGAUCUGAGCUUCCGGUCAUUGCUGUAGCAGCUACAAGUGAACCUGGAGGCCUUGGCAUUGGUGGGCGUGGAAAGGCCAUACCCAUGGGAGGUCUUUGAGCCACAUUAGCAAAAUUUGCAGCGAUUCUGUUUGUUGGUAACGAAGCUUUUGAGGACAUUGAAGGUGGGACACCAAGCCGAGCUGCUAUUAUCUGUGCCCUUUCAUGGUAUAGCCGUUGCCUUGACCUUUCUAAUUGCUCUUUUACCCUCGCUGUCAAGCUUUCAGCGUCGUUGAAGAUUGAUAGCUUUGCUUCUAGUUUAUGUAACUGCUUAGAACCCAAAAAAAAAAAAUCAUUAUUAUGUUACAACAACUCUCAACAAUACGGCACCAAAAAGGAAUCUAAUCAGCAUACAAUAAAAAACGACAUCUCACCUGCUUCUCUAUCAAUGAUCCAGAAAGUUGUCGGAUUUGAUCUUCUUCUUGCUUCGCAAGAGCCUUUGCUUUUACUGCUGCAGCUGAGAGAGCAGAGAUAGCUGCACGCUUAAGCUUAUCUAUGUUAUGUUUUUCUUUUGUCCCUUCACUAACAUCCUUCUCUUUGUUUCCUUCUUUAUUUGUAAUUUCACCUGCGAAACAAUGUUUAAACAACAAUCCAUUAAGAUAUAAAUGAAUAAUGCAAUGGGUCCAGUUUCUAAUGUGCCAGAGGGAGAAAAAGACGGACAACCAGUUGUUCCAUUUUCCGGUACAGAAGCUGAUACAAUUGGCUGCUGUGCAAUAGACAACUCUGGCUUACUAAGAACAUCCUUUGCACCCUCCUUAGCCUGUUCAACCUCCUCUCCUACUGUUUUGACCAUAUCUUGAGGAUCCUUUUCUGACUGUGAUGUAUCCUUCAUCUCCACAUCUUUUGAUGCUUCUGGCUGAGAAGCAUCUCCAGCUGACUGAUCGACAGUUGCUUGAGAAGCGUCUUUAUUUUCACUAGAAAGCUUAUUUUCAUCCUUCAAAGGUUCUUGAAGCUCCUUCCCAGAGCAUUUUUCCUGCGAUGGACAAAUUAUAUCCGCUGGUUUCUCAGAAUUGCCAGUUGCGACUGACUUACUAGAUCCAUUUUCUCGUUCAGCAUCUGGAUUUCUAGCCGAAUUUUCAGUUCGAGAACCAGGUUGCUUUUCUUCUGAGACUGAAUCCUGAUUCUUUUUGCCUGGAUCAAUAUCUAGCAUUUCCCUAUCAUCUAAAUUCAAGGAGACAUCUUCUGCUUUUUGGCUUUUUUCUUCUGGCUGCUCAUCUUUAUGUGUAUUAUCAUCGUUCGCUGCUGCAUCCACACUGCAAAUGUCUUGCUAGUUUCAGAUUUACGAAACAAUAACCAAUAUCUUUAAAAUUUUAUCGGAUAUUCAAAUAAAUGUCAAACCUUUUUGAUUCAGUUGAAUCCUUCUUGUUAUCUGGUGGAUCUUCCAGAAUAAAACAAUGUCUUGUAGCGAGCAACAGUCCAGAAGAUUUUAUGGAAGCCCGGGCUGAAGCAGUAGCAACGUCAGAUCCCGCCAAUCUUACCAGAAAGGCUGCCUAUAGAAGAAAAAAAAAAGGAGCCUUACAGGAUCAGAAAGAAAGGGAAGAGGGUGCAUUUAUGAAUUAAAAAGAAUCUCCUCUCAAUCCUCGUUGCAUCAAAAUUUCUGUCUUACAUCACAACUUACCAGUCCCAUGACAGGAUUUCCUAAAUCAGCAAAGGAAACAGAGGCUUCAGGUGUAAUGGGAUAACCAACGUCUUCAAAAGCUUCAGUCAGAGCUUUCAGAGCAAUGUUUUCAUCAGCCUCAUCUUUACAUCUUUCAUCACUGACGGUUUCUUGCUUGGGCGUUUUCUGGUCAGCUUCCACUUCAUCAGUGUCUUGGCUCGCAUCUCCAGGCUUUGAAGAUCCCUGAGAAACUUUUCCUUCAUUGUCAUUUUCUGGUUCUGGAACUUCCUUCAUAGUUUCAACUUCAUCAACACGAUUCUUAUUUUCUGUCUCUUCGGGUGCAUCUUUUGGGACAGAUUUAUCAUCUUUAGACACAGCUAAAUCUGUAGUGUCUUUUGUACUUGGAUCUUUGUAGUCAGUUUGAUCAAGAAAUGCAUCCUCGAUUGGCAUUUGAAGAAAAUGAAGCAUACACUGAGCCUUUGUUUUCGUAGCAACAUGCUCUGCAAUCUCGUUCCAAUUUUCCUUGAAGAUUUCUAAAGCUUCAAGGAGAAGAAGAGUCUCUUGGUCAGUCCACUUCCCACUACCAACGCCAGGGGCCUCAGCAGGCUCCAUCAGUAUAAAAUCAGAAGAUGACAUAUCUGAGCUGAACUUGCCACUGUUAAAGCAUUCCGUACACAAGUCAAAAUCUGCCUGCCAAAAUCUCAAUAUCAGCACAUAAAUUUUUAAAAUACUGUAAUCAAGAAAAUAGCACAAAGAAUGAAUGUUGCUACAAACAGUAAGAUGAAAGCACAGGGUCAUAGUUAAACUCUGUAUUCUUUUCUAUCUCAGAUAUUUAAGCCACAGGGAAAAGGAUCGAAAGAGAACUAAAGUAAAGUGACAGAACACCUGCUUGGGGCAGUGGUAGCGCUUGCGAGAGCAAUCAGCUGAACAGGAGUUGCAGUGAUAUUCGACUGCUGGACCCUCUUGCUUCAGUAAGUCAUCAGCAGCCAUUGGAUCUGUAAACAACCCUGAUGGCGUAGCUUGUGCUGUGAGACGAGGCUUGUGAACAAGAGCAGGGCAAGCCUCAUCUGCUUGAAAUCGGUAUAGACUGUUAAGCAGUGACUCUUUAUCCCCUAAAUCAUCAUGAUCACCAGCGGUAGAACUAGCAUCUGCUAAUGAGGAUGGGAAUGGGUGAAAAUUAAUUAAGCCCCAGUAGUCCAAGAACUCCAUCACCUCUUGUUUUGCUUCCGUGUCUCCAACCUCGAGUUCUGCUAAGUCUUUUAAUUCUAUCUGUGUGUUCGGAUCAGAAUGAAACUUCCUCAUGAUCCAAUUCCGUAUUUCCCUAUAUACCUCAGAAGUGCGACCAUCCAAUUUGCCAUUAAAGAAAGAGGGCAAUGAACGCUCCUCCAGCGGAUGAAUUCUUUCCCAUGAAUACCAACCUUCAAAAAGUUUCAGUACAGGAACCCAAAUUACAAACUAUUUCUUUUUAUAUCAAAAAUUGUAUGGAUGACAAGUUGUGAAGAUUGAACCACAAAACAGCAUAAAACCUAAACAAAUAUCUCAUAUUACAUCCUAGCUCAUAUUUAACACAAGAUCAGGAGUCAGGACUAAGAGCAUCAAUUCAUCGCCUGGUGUUCUUCAAAUGAGAUUCUACAUGAUGAGCAUGCUCAUUCUACUUUGACAAGCAAUAGAAAAUGAAAACUGUUUUAGACCAUAGGAUCAAUCUGAUAAUCUCAUGCCAAUGCAUCAACUACACACACACACACAAUAUUUCACAUCUUGAUUUUUCUUCUACCAGGGACCAAAUGAGUACUGAGCAUAACAUCUUUCAAAAUCUACAACAAAGUAUCCAUAGCAGGAGGUGCAUAUCUUCUUCAAUUUAAGCCUAGAUAUUCACAUUGAGCAGAUUUCCAAAACCAAAUCCAACUCCAAAACCUAACAAGUUAGUAGUGUUAAACUCUCCUCCUUUCCAGUAGUGAUAAAACCUCGACUACCUCAGAUUCUUUAUUUUGCCUACUUUGAAAUUACUCAAAAAAAAAACUAAUAUUCGGAAAGCGAAACAAGGACAACUAAUGUAAAAGAAAUCGAGAAUUUGGCAUAGUCUGAACAAUCACAGGAAGUAGUAGAACAAACCGCAAUGAUUAGGCACCACAUGAACAUUGCUGUCGCGAGAUCUAAUUGCUUCGAAAUCAGCUUCGAUCUUAGCCUCCAAAGCCUCCCACUCACGGAUCGCCUUGUUUCGUUCUUCCUCCUCCUUCGGCUUCUCGCCAUCCGUACCCACCGCGACAUUCAACGGCUCCGACUUCACCCCAGCCGCCGACGGCAUGUUGCUCGGUGCCUGUCGAGCUCUAGUAAGAGGCCCGUUGUGUACCGGAGAAAAAGACGCAAGCAUCGCCUUCUCGCGCGUCAACAUCCUCUUGUACGAUGUGGAAGAGGAAUUGGAGGUCCCGAGAGCAUUCGCUUUUCUCUUCAAAGCUCCGGCGCGCCGCCGCGUUGCCGGCUCAGAUGCCGGAGAAUCUCCAGAGCUACCAGCCGAAGCUAGGGUUCCAGCAUCGCGUCGUUUCUCCUCCAUCUCAAGAGACGGACCAAUCUUCGGGGUUUCCGUCUCAGUGUCUUCGCUUUGCUAUGCAGCUACAACAACAAAACCAUUUUCAGGCUUAAGCAAAACGUUGCUAUUCCCAAUCCCACCCAAUUUUGCUUCUUCCCCUUCACUUCACCGUUUUUUUGCAUUUAACUUUCUUUCUUUUUUUCUUUUCAUCUUUGGGUGUGGAGUCAACAUUUUGUAUGUUAAGGGGAAAAACCGAAACAUGUUGAAAUUAGCACCCCUUACAAUAUAAAUUUGAACGGUUUCGUUCGGUUUAAAUCAAUCACUCUCGAAUUAAGCCUUCCGGUUCGACGAGAAAUUGAAACGCUCUCUUCAAGAAACCAACAAUCUUUGGCAAAUGGAAAAUUCACUUGAAUCUUCUUGAGUAAUUCAUAUCAUUGCAUAAUCUUAUAGCAGCAAAACUCACAAAUGCCUCCAUUAAUGGAAAAACAUAUAUUGAAAUGCGCGACCAAAAUUUUUCCUACAAGGUUGUUCUGAUAUAUGUACAAAACUUAAAAAUCUUGGCGUAACAAGUUUUCGAAAUUGGUUCCUUUUAAUGUGGUUUGGACCUCUUCCCAAUUCUGUACAUGUUGUGACAAUGAACCUCGAUGAAUCUUCACUUGCCGACUCUUUAACUCACGUUUUGGGACCUUUAGAAACUCUUGUACAUCGUCUAGCCUCUGCAUUCAAAAAAAAAAAAAAAAUCAUCUUGAACACAUGAGAAAAGAACAAUCAAUAACUUGAUCUAAUUUUUUUUAAAGAAAAGAUGUAAUAACCACCGUGCGGUUCUCAACAAGAUCUUCAUAGUAGAGAAGGAUAUGGCGAGUGGUAUUAAAGUAAGCCAAUGCUUUCAAGGUCAUUUCUUGAAUCUGAUUCAGCUCUGCUAUCAAAAGUGUUGUGUUGAUCAUUGGCUUGUAACCCGCCAAUAUCUCAGCCUCUUUAGGCGAAUGGACGUGAGACUUGUGAGUCCCGUUUAAUAGCUUAGCAUCUCUGUCAUAAGAGUUUGAGAGUACUGAUAUCAUGCGCCGCAAUAGGUUUCUUCUGAAGAGGAAAAUUGCAGAGACGCCUCGGGUUUUGAAGUAAUCUACUAUUUCUUCAUGAUGUUUCAUUAGACCCUGCAAUGUUUUACAGUGCAAAAUCCAAAAUCAACAAAACCACACAGAAGCUCCCUAAAUCAAAAGAGGUCCCUUUCACAAAUUUGCCUCAUAAGUGAAGAGCACUGAGUGAGAAAGAUGUCACUCAAAACCACAACCUUAUAUCUCUUUAAGACCGUUCCCUUUCAACAUAUUUAUCAACUUUGCAACUACAGUACAGUUCCUUAAAGCAAACUUAUCUCUUUUUCAAACUUAACACAAACAUUGUCUUAUCAAGAAAACAGACCGUUCCUUAUUACUUUCAACUAACAGGUAGUUCAUUUAUACGCAAAUGUGACCAGAAGACAAGGCAGGGAAUCUAGCGAGCUCGUUGUCCAAGCACCCAGAUGCAAACAGAACAAAGUCGAAUAUAGAUAGAUAUAAUAUGAAUCAUAGAGUACGAAAGACAAAAAAAAUAUGUCACAUUGUCCGGAGAAAUAUUUGUGACUUUGGAACACUUUACCUGAUUAAGCAUCCACUUGAAGCCAACAGCGGAAGUGCACUCAUUCUUAGAGGCACUACUCAACCAGUCUAGAUUAUAGACUUUGUCAAGUGUCUCAAAAAUGGUCGAAACAUUAGCCCUCCUAUCUUUCACAGAAAAGAUCUCUCCGUUGGAGCUUAUGUUAGUAUGAUUGUUAAGUAAAGUCUCAAACCAGCCACUACCAGAUCUCUGCAUCGAGAUAAUCGCAAAGUACCUAACCGGUUGGCAAGAACAUUCAUCCCUAAAUCAUUCAAAACCCAUAAAGCACUAAUCAAUAAAAAGCGUAGACCCAAGAAUCAUAAAGGCUCAAACUUUUUCUCUAUCUUUCUUUAGUUACCUGUUAUAUGUCUUUGGUUUAGGGUAAUGCACAAAUGGAAUGUCCCAUGGUUCAAUGUUAGGCUCAGGGCAAGGCCUCUCAAAGACUUCAACGUUCAAGAAACCAUAGUUGGGACUGACUCCGAUUUGCUCAAGACAAAUCGAGCAAAUGUACACAGCGCAGACCAUUACAAAGAAGAGAACGACCAUUCUUAAUACAAGUGACGACUUUUUAGGAAGCUUCAAGACAAAACUAUCCUGAAACAAAACAUAAAAAUGAGCACAUUUAUGUCCUCGUGUUAAUUAAGCUUUGUUUUGUUGUUUGAGUCAAAUGGAAAUAAAACCUCAGAAACUUUCUUUUUUAAUGCGCCAGACCCAGAUGCCAAAGAAUCAAUUUUUUUUUUUUCAAAGAAUCAAUUUUUAUACAUUAGAGUAAAGGAAUAUGAAAAAAAUCCUAAAGAAAAUCAGGAGCUGGGCUUGAAACUACUGGACGGAUCAGCAAAAGAUUGCUCCGAGAAGAGGAAACUCUAAUCCGAUGCGACCACUCACAAGCAGAUUAAAACUGAACAAAGCGUAAAAUCUAAAAGCCACACACAAGACACAACGAAAUGUACCUUGGGGAGGAAAGAAGGAUCGUCGGCCAUGGCUGUCUCAAUAGAGAGAGAGAGAGAUAUGAGAGAUCAGAAAGGAACAGAACACAAAGACAUUGAAUUCUCCAGACAAUCUGAUAGAGGAAAAAAAAUUAUAUUUUAUUCCCAAGAAUUGAAAACGAAAAACUUUUAAAGAAUUUCAGUUUGAGAAAAAGUGCAAUGAUUAGAGAAGCCCACGACCGUUGUUUUUCUCCUUUACUGUUCACUUGAAACUGGGUUGUUUCAAAUUCACGAACAUCGAAUUAUCAAACAUUAAAAUGCGGCAUUGGAAAUUAAAUUCUCGUUUACAGAUUUGAGGAUAAAAGAAAAUAUGGAAAUCUCAGGAAACGGGGGAAAAAAAGAAAGCGUAAACCCCGAGAAGAACAAGUCAAGCUUAAAAACGAUGUCGUUUGCUGACAUGCACCAGCGCUUUAACCAAUCAGCAAUCACCACUAUUGCUUCCUUUUAAGAUUUAAAUUUUGUUAAAAAAAACGCCAAUCAAUUGUUUUUUAUUUUUAUAAUACGAGUUUAAUUCGUGUAACAGAUUCCCACGGUUUGACUUGUGCAUUUGUUUUCAAUUUAUUUGAUUCUUGUGUUUACUACUUUUACGUAGUCUUUCUAUUUCGAAGAUUAUAAUAGCUUCAAUCUAAAUGUUUUCCACGGUCUAUAUAUUCUAAAUUUCUAAUAUAUCAAUCCCGUGAGAAACCGAACAUCAACAUCAAGAAUCGGAUAUAUUUUCUCAUGUGAUGUAAUCCCGUGAGAAAGCGAACAUCAAGCGAGCAUCAAUCCAUAUCAAUGUCAGUGAUACUAAAACUUUGACUGCAGUGUUAAAUAUGGAUAAUGGAUGUUGUACAAAAAAUAAUGACAUUUGAUUUCAAAUAAAAUUGACAACACAAAAAAAAAAACACUUAGUUAAUGUGUUGGUAGUGCUCGGAGCUGUUGUAGGUUUCAAAAUUGUUUGUAAGAUUGAGUAAAUAGUAGAAGCUUAUAGGUAUUUUUUUCUCUCAAUUCUAGUUUAAAGAUUAAUAAGAAGAAGCGAAGUUCGAAAAAAAAUCCGACAUUUUUAUAGCCAUUAAUGUUUCCUGAAGCUUUGAAAAGUGGAGACACAAAAAAUGAAAUUCUUCAACCCCAAACAAUAUUUACAUCGGCGAGGGACAGUGAGGAAGUGAAAAAAAAUAAACAACAAAAGACAACACAAUACAGAACAAAUUAGCAAUACAUAAGGCCCCUCCUAAGAAGAGAAGAAACCCAAAAACAUAACACCAAAAAAUAUCAAAAGAAGAUUGUUACGUAGUUGUAGAAUUCCUUCUAGUGGUGAUAAAAAGAACUUGUCUUGCGAUCUUUCUUGGAUUUCACAAAUCCUAACCCUAAUCUCUCUCUCCACCAACCACUCGACCCUUUUGAUUUGCUUCUCGGCGAAUCAUCGUCUCCUUCGCUGAGUUCCUCCCUUAAAGUUGACAUUCUCUUCGUCGUGUUGGUUUCUUCCUUGAGAGGUAAAAUCAUGCCAUCGAAGAAGAUUUCAUCUGCUGUGAUCAUGGAGAAGUUCUUGACACCGAACUCAAAAUCAUCAUCUGACGACACAGAUGCCUCCUUGUACUUGAUCAUCUCGUUCUUAGUCGCUGCGAAACCGCUGGAGAAUGAGAUCCUUGGCUCUGCGUAUCCACCGUACUGAUGAUGUUGCUUCAUGUUCGAACACUCCAUUUUUAUCUUCUGUCUCUCAGUCUCUCUCUCUCUCUUGUGUAUUCUAUUGUAUUUGUAUUUUGUUGUAGUCUCUAAGGGUAAAAUGUAUGUAUUUAUAUGAUACAAUGUUGGAUUCAUAUACUUCUUAUUUUAUAUAAAUAUAUUGGGGAUAGAUAAUACCAUAUUUUUGUGCAUGAUGUCACAAACACACAAAGGGACAAAAGUGUUGUCUCUUGGAGUUUAGAGAUCUAAGACUAGAUUCUUAAUUGAUUUAUGUUAUCUUCAAUAAUGACUUAUAACCCAUUUUAGGGAUCAACAGCGGGGAAAAGUUAAAAGCUAAUAGUCUCUUGAUUCACUAGAAGGGCCAGACCAUCAUUAUCGGUAGAAACCCUUUUGGGUCUUUAAGGUAUUUUUUAAUUAUUGUCUGAGUAAAAAGGUGAAUAAGAAAUUUUGUUUAAAGACUCAUGUAUUUGGUGUAUGCAUUGGAGAAACCAAGGUGUCGAAGAAAAAAAAAGAAAAUGGGAGAAAUGAAAAAAAAAAUAAAACAAACCCAUUCUCUCUUCCCAAUUUUUCUAACCAAUCUCAGGGUUCCACGUACAAUUAAAAGACGUAUACAAACGUCCUCAAUUAAUAGACGUUUUUACUCAUUCUCUCUCCUAGCUCAUUUUUAAAAUAUUAAGUUUUUACUAAAGACGCUUUUAAAGACGCCGAUAAUGAUGCUCUUAUCAUCACAAUAACAAUAUAUUACUUCUAUUCAUCGUUAGAAGAUAAAACCCUAAAUGAACGCAAAUGGAUGUUUUAAGCACAUGUAAGUCUCAAUUUUAUGCACAUGCACUCUCAGAAGAAAGUAUCAUGCAAUUUCUGAGAAAUUUCGCAAACUUAGUUUGUUUUAUGCUUCUUAUAGAAAAUGGGGAUAAAUUUAGUAAUACUUUGCUGGCUAUCCAAACUCUCCAAAGGUUACACAAAAACCAUUUGUUUAAAGCAUAUAAUUAUUUAAACCCUAGAGAUUAUCUUAUAUAAUGAUAGCUGUUUAUUGGCUAAUUGUACACUGUAAUUACAAAUCUGAGUUCCCACGCAACUGGGUUUCCGACACGCCGUUAACAGUAAUUAUAUUAAUUACACACACACACACACACGUUGAUCUUCAGUGCUGAUCACUCCAACAACCAAGAAACACAUUUUGCAACCAAACAAAAAAAACAGUAUUACAAUUUACCGUACGUUUGUUGAAGUAUUUAUCUAGUCUAUUUUUUGUUAUAUCGACUAUUAAGUUUUGUUUUCGUUUGAGGUGUGGCACUUUAUUGGUAGAUUCUUUUGCCAAAUUUAGAAAUCUCAUGUAUGAAAUAUAUAAGAGGAAACCUAAAAUGACAUAUAAGUCACAGGACAAUUCAAAAAACAAGGAUUAUAUAUGUAACGAACCUAGUUAAUUAAUUUGGUAUCCAUUAAAGAAAAUAUUAUCUAUAAUAUCUUAUUUAAUUUUAUCUUUCUGUGACGUCUGGUUGUGUAUAGAUUCAAUAAUGUGUAUUUAUGAGAGCGUGUCUCUCCGAUGGUCUCCCAUAUAGUGAACAAAAGUUGUCUCUUGCAGUUCACGAAAUCUGAGAAAGUUUUGUCUUCUUGCGCUGAUUUAUGUAUCAAACGCAUUAUUAUAAAGUAACAAAAAAAGAGGCUCGACGUACAAGGUUGGAUCUUGGAUUUCACCUAUAAAUUUUCAAUAAUAAAAACAAGGUUCGGUGAACUUCGUGCUUCUUUCCACUUCCACUUCGUACACUAAACACAACAUCAUUAGUCAAUGUCGGUGUUUUCUUCUCACGAGGCAAGUGAUAAUUCCAGUUAGGGAUGGCUGGAUGGGCAAAACUAUCCAGAAUAUGGCCAGCUCAAUUUUGGGGGUUAAAAAUAGUUUUAUAGAGAAUUUGGACGGUAUACGUUACUCUAUUUUGUUUACGGGGUUACUUGAAAUCUAAUUAAGGAUUCUAUAUGACAGGAUAUUUGGCGAAAAUGGAUAAUAACGUAAUUCAAAACUCUAUGUUUUCAAAGGUGUUGUAUACUAAUUCGAUGAAAUCUCUAUUGUUGGUUUUUAACGUUCGGACCGUAUAUGCUCAAUGGUCGUUUUGAAUUUUUGAUAAGGAUGUUACUAAGGGAUUGAGUUGACUUAAUUUGUAUUCAUAUAUUUGAUACUGAAGAGGAAUAUAUACUGAUACCAUAAAAAAAUUAUAAAAUUUGUAUGAUUUAUAUUAAAGACUUGUGCAUAGCAUAUGAAAAUUUAGAUUUUUAUAUAUCGACAUGUCAUUUGUAGAAGAGUAUGUUACUCUGAUACCAUAUAAAAUUAUAGAAAGAUUUCUACAUAGGAUUUAGAGUUCCAAUAUAUAAUGUUGGAUUGAUCCAUUCUAUAUCUUGCAAGUCUUGAUUGAUAUAAUACUCUAGGGAUAACAUGCAGAUUACAAGAACACAGAGAAGGAAAUAAAUGAUGCAAAUGUUUUCUAUUAAUUAAUACUAGAUAUCACAUCACGAAUUAAGCGCCUGUAGCUCAGUGGAUAGAGCGUCUGUUUUCUAAGUAGAAAGCCGAAGGUUCGACCCCUUCCUGGCGCGUCUAUUAUGACGGGUUAUUUUUUUCUUUUUUCAUAAAUUUUUUGAAGAGAAAGAACAUCAUGUUCUAGAAGGGGGCGAGAGUUAAGUAUUUGAAUAGUCUUUGACUCGCCGGAUCUGUCUCUCGAGUCCCGGCGGUGUAAAACCCUAUUUCUUCCCUACUUUACGCCGCCGACUUAUGCUAUGAAGGCUUUCCAUCUCGACCGUGGAAACACUCUCUCUGUAUCUCUUUUCUCCGAUGUCACCAACUCCAAGUACUCUCUCUCUCUCUCGAAUUUUGGGUUUUUCUUACCCUCGAUAGAUUAGGAUAAAUGUGUAAUCUUUCGGAUUCUCUCGCUUUCUCUGUUGCCUAAGCAAUGCGUGAUUUUGGUUAUCAGAAAGAAAAUUUGCGUUUUCGAUUGUGUGUUUGUGUUGUCGGACAGACCUUCACCGGCAAUUAGUAAGAGACUUGUGGAUUUAGGGAAACUCUGUUUGAUAGUUUUGCAGCUAAAAGCUCAUCACUUUCCUUGUUUUGAUUCAGUUUCGCGAUUACCUUUUCUCGGUUUUGAGUUGUGUGGAAGAGAUGCGAAACAAACAUUUGGGGCAUUAUUUUUGUGUGUGUGUUCAGGGAGCUCUUGAAUUCGAUGCUAUAUGGAAGUUUGAAGCUGGAGGUAUCGUUUCUCAAUGCAUCACUUGUAAGUUUUUGUUGUUUCCUCCAUUUUUUUCAUUCUCAUUCUAAAAAAAGACUUUGAUAUAUUGAUCUUAACCGAAUUGUAUCAUCAGAUACCAGACAUUUUUCCUCUCUUAGCUGCUGCUCAGAAAGCACUUGUCUCCAAGUCUCGUGAUUCGUUAUCAACCAGAACUCUUCAUUCUGAGCUCGUGUACAAUUACUCGGGGUCUAAGCAUGUAAGAACCAACUUUGCUUGUGAGUUGUAAUUGUAAUAAGAAUAGCUUAUUUUUUCUGAAUUUGUCUAAAAUGUUGGUGUUCAUUUCUUCCUCUAACUAGAUUACAGAAUCAUUGAAACGAUGUGGGAUUUCCGAAAACUCUACUUACAUUCUAGCUGCCCGGUUCAAUGCUUCUCCUGUUGAGGUCAUAAUCUCUUCAACCAUCUAAGAUCUUACUUUCCAUGUUGCUGUGUUGCUUUUGCAUUAUAAAUGAAUAUAAAGAUCAAUCAUGACAUGUUUAAAGAUUAAAACCAGAUGGAGGAGGUCGCGAAAUUGAUCAACGGGAAGGAAACUGAUAUGGAGGAGUUGAAGACGCAAGCAAAUGAAGCUCAUAUACUAAAGGUAAUGUUAUUGUGGUACACAGUUAAAAUCCGUUGUAGUUAGCAUCCUUUUGUUAUAGAAAUAAUCUCCUACACUGUCAUUGAAUCUUUCAGCAUUACAAGAUAACUAGCCAAGAACUCGGGAUUUCCUCUCUCGGAGAUGCGAUUGUUUGUCGGAUCGCUGCACGCGAUGCUUUGUAAAACAAGAGAUCUGUAUUUCGUUCUUUCUUUCUUGUUAGUGAUUUUUUUCCUUUACAAACAAAUUGGACACUUCGUAUGUAAUUCUUUGCAUCUUUCAGAACAAAGUUGGUUUUCUUAUUUUCUUAACCUCUUCUAUUUCCUCUCCUCGUGUAAUUUUAACUCAGAUAUUUUAUGGGAUAAACAUAAAAAUGACCAAAAACACAGAAUUGAGACUACUAAUUACAUGUCCUUUGCCCAAUAUAGAAGUGAAAAGACUCAAAAAGCCACAUCAAACCAGGAAUCUUGCUCAUUUUGAGCAAGCCCAAAACCAGUGUCACUCUCUUCUUGCACUCAACUAUAAAAACACGCCAACAAGAAAGAGCUCAACUUUAUGAAUCAAACAAAUUCCCUGAAAGAGUAAGUAACUAAACCUAGAAAGAACUAGAGGCAAUUUGUUCUGAGAAGAAUCAAAUAUGAUCACUGGAACAUAUCAGCAAUGGUGUUUCCAGAAUCUGAAGAAUUUCCAUUCCCAAAAUCCAUCAUCAUCAUCAUAUUCAAAUAUUCAUCCAUAUCACAGUCUCCUCCUCCUCCACGCCAUUGCUCUGCUUCGACAGAAUCCGUGCCACUCACGCUCGCACUUGCACUCUUUCCUAUAUCAUCAGCCGCAACAGAUGAAGAAGUGUAAUCCACAAACGGGAAGUUGAGUUUAGCCCGUGGCCCACGGAAUCCAAUAGCGGCCCGAUCAUAGGCUCGAGCCGCAUCCUCAGCUGUUUCGAAAGUCCCGAGCCAGACACGUGUCGCUCUCUUGGGAUCUCUGAUCUCAGCUGCAAAUUUUCCCCAAGGUCUCUGCCUCACUCCUCUGUAGCCAUUCUUCUUGUUCUUCCUCUUCCUGAUUUUCCCGCCUUCCGCUUUCUUCGUCGUGGCCAAGGAGCUCUCUUUUCUACUACUGUCACUAGUAAUCCUUUCUUCUACCUCUACUUGCUGUUUAUUUUCAAUUCUCUGAUUUGGCGCGAAAAAGUAGUUGCAGCCGAGACAUCCUUCGAUCAUACACACUUGGCAAGUGUCGGAAUCCGACCGAGGCAUUCCCGCGCUAAUCACGGUGCUGUCGCGGGAGAAACUCUGAAACGGCGCCGUUUCUUUUUCCCCUGAGAUGACGUGUUGCAAGGCGGAGACUAUAACUGAGAGUUCUUGCUCCGGUGAUAACUGCUCUUGCUGAUACGGGUACUGGGUCCGGGUCGAAUCGCGCUCUGAGACCGGAGCUCCGACGAAUUCGGGUCUGUUGUUUGGGUAAUGCAUUCUCGAUUACAAUUUACAAUUUGAUUUUGGAUUUUGGUCGACUCUGUGAUUGUUGAAAGCACCUGGAGAUGAUUGAAAAUAUUUGUUUUGUUUUUCUGCUGUGUUUGGGGAAACUGAAAGUGGAAAGAAGCUCUUAUAUAUAUGGUUCCGUGUUUUUUUUUUUUUUUUCAAAUGUCUAUGUGGCUUGUCAACUGCCAACUGGCACACACACUUCAGACACGGGGGUCUUUUGGAAACACGUGCGUUUAUUUUCUCGAAUAUCUUCAUAUAAAAACAUGACAUUUUUUUAUAUUUGAGUUGGGUUUAUAUGACAUGACAUUUCUUCUUUAAGCAUAAAGUAUUAAUCAAUUAUCAUCAUUUGUGACGCUUUUCUUCAAGAACCGCUUUUGUGUUUUAGUUAUUUAAUUAUUAUUUUAGCGCUUUAUGUUCGUUUUCACACAGUUUACAAUUUAAUUUAAACAUGUUUAAUGGGAUAAGCAUAUCUAGGUACGGAAUUGAUUGGCUUAGAAUAAAAUCACGUGCCAUUUUUUAACUUAUUAUUUUUGCCUGUUAUUGGAGCAAUUCGCCUUCACAUUUAUCAUUAGCUAUUGAGAUCAAUUUGUCUUUCUCGAUGACUAGAUCCAUCGUCUCAAAACUCAAAAGCAUUUCUCUCUCUUUUGUCAUUUUUAUACUCUUUUAGUACGUCGAAUCAAUCCUACAACGUUUUCGAAACUUAUGCACAUAGACAUGUGUAACAUUACAAUAACAUUGUGAUUCACACAAACAAUGGUAUAUUUGACGCUCUGGAUAUUUAUUUUUUUAAAAACAAACAUAUUCAUUUUAUUAGCACAUCGCAGUGCUAUUAAAAAAAAUCUCUUUGUAAUGGACUACAUUUGAUAAUCAAUCUGAUUUUCUAAAACUUUAUGUUUCAAUCUAAUUAUUCAUAAAUUUCAAAUAUGGCUAAUUAAAAAUUUUACAUUGAAAAUGAGAUGAAAUCUAAAUUACUAAUAAGGAUAAAAGCCAAUAAACUAAUUAUCAAUUAAUUUUGAAUAGAAGUUCAUCAAACUUAAAAUAUCUUUUAAUAAUCAUGUAUUGCUUAAAUUUGGUAGAUUGAUUAUUUUAGACUAGGACUCGAUUCGAUUACAGAUCGUACGUGAUCACAUAUUGAAAGUGAAACAUAAUCAACUAUUUAUUGUAAAUUGAUUUUGAGUUGUAAUAUCAUAAAACUUAACAUUAUGAUUGUUGACAUAUACAUCAAAACUUUGAAUUGUCUUUAAGUUCUACACCUUAUCACCACCCUUUGGCAAAUGCAUCCACUGUCUCUUACUUCAAAGCAUAGUCUUUAGCAAAAAAACUUCAAUUCAAUUGACUAUGGUCACUAGUCAGCUUUACAUACGAAUUUUCAAAAGUUUUUUUUUUAAUACAUAGAAAAUAUGAUUGCGAACACAGGUAUGUUAGUAAGUUUACAGGUCGACUUACUAAUUAGCAUACUUUUAUUCAGUGAAAGAACAAUGAAUAGUAAGAAGAAAGAAUCCAUUAGAAUAUAUACAUUAAAUCGAACUUGUAAAAAGAGAAAUUCAACUAAUAUGAGACAAAAUGACUUCGUUGCCUCGUUGGAUAUUUUUUUUCUUCUAAUAAUAAAAAUAAAAGGAAGAUGAAAAUAAACGAAGGAAGGAGAAAAUGAGUUACGACACAUAAAAAAAAAAAGAGAGGAGAAAGUUAAGUGAGUUAAUUUGUCAAAGGUACUUAUGAAUGAAAAAAGCGAAGGUUUGAUGUUUCUCACUGAUCUCAGAUAUUUCAAUGACUUUUUAUUCUUUUUAUUUUCAGGUCAAUAUUUCAAUGAUUUAUAGAACUUGUUGAAGUGUAUGUCAUGACGCUGAGCUGGCAUGUGGAUAUCACUAAGCCCUCACGUCACUCUAUCAUUUGAUUGUGUUGACUGUUUCUCGACGCUGACCCACCACGUCUUUGCUUUCUAGAGUCUCUUGACUACUCUCUUCACGCUGACCUUUGAUUAUUAUUAAUUGACUGUACUGGGGAAACAUAGUACAUUUUUCAAAAGGAUUAUGGAGAUAAUUUAGUCUAUUUAUUGAUAUACUUUUAUAUAUCUAUGAUAUGUACAAUUUAUGGAGGCAUAACCAGUUUUAGUUAUUUAUGAUAUGUAUUUAUGGAGACAUAACUUUUUUGUUUUGCUGAAUAUGUAUUGGAAAAUACUCCAAAACAUACAAUACUAGCAUGUUGACCUUUCUUGAUAUAGUAUUCGUUCCAAAACAUUUAGGGAUAUAAGGAAAAAAUGAAGAAAAUAAUCUUAAUUUGUAUCCUACAAACUAAUCAAUAUUUAAAAUAUUUGUACUAAAAAGUAAUAAUGUUACAAAAAAAAAUCGAAGAAUAAUUUUUUUUUUAAUUUUUUAAGGGGUCUGAGGCGAGCUGAUACUUCCUCUAUUAACAAAUACUAGUGCAAUUUUAUUUAAUUUUUACACAGAUUAAAAGUUAUUAAAAAUUUUACUUUUCUUUUUAUUACUAAAAUAAAUAACUUUUUCCUUUCUGAUUAAUAAAAUAAAAUAAUAAUUUUAAAACAGGAUUUUAUGCUUAAAUUCAAAAAUAAGAAACGAAAUUAAACUCUUAAAAUGUCAUUUUUGUGAAUCAAAAGAAGUAUAAACAUUAGCAAUUAUAUCUACAAAUUAUUCAAAAAUUUGGGAAUAUGAAUAUAUUUUUACAGUGUAUAAAACUUUUUUGUAAAUGCGAGUGUGUGAGUAAAUACGACAGGCUAGUUAUUACAUUCAUCUUUAUUUAACUUUUUUGGGUCAUCACCAAAUUGAAUCUAUCAUCUGUAAACAAAAUAGGAACGAUAAGUAAAAGCAUUUCCAAAUAGCCACCACAGGCAGAGGCACGUUGAGCACGUGCAAAAAUGAUUUAGAACACGUUUAUUGCGCUGACCAACGUUUUACUUCAUUAUCUCGCUGCCUCGUUACUUUUUCACUUUAUCUUCUCUUAAUUUGUUUUUUUCCUUCCACUAACCAGUUAGAGAUUCUAUGGAUUAGUACUAAUCAGCAAUUUACCUCGAUAUUUAAUUGAUAACGAUUACCAACUCUUCAUCCUUUUAAUCUUUUUUUUAAGUUUCUUUUUCAUUGCUUUUCAAAUAAUUCAUCAGCUCUAGUUUAUUCAUUAUAUAAAUAUCUCAGCAGUUAGAACCGUCCAAUUCAGAUAAAGGAAACCAAUAAUACUAUAUGUGGAUCCUGUUACUUAUUCCUGUACAUGUAACUGGGGUAAUCAAAAUCACCAACCUAAAUCGUUUUGUAAGAGGACAACUCGGAUACGGACAUACAUGUACAAUGAGAAUUUAAUAGUCGAUAAAAAAAAUAAAAAAUUGAAUAUAACAAAUAUCUUAACAUCUGAGAAUUUUAUCAAAUACAUGGAGAGAAAAUUGGAUAUGAUUUUUUUUUCUUUUAUAACAAAUAGAAAACCCACAAAAACAAGGAGUUUGAAGAUAAAAAAAAGUUUAUCAACGAAAAAUGAGAAAUCAGAAUAUGUAAAUUACACUAUAUAGCUCAAGGAUUAGAAUUUUCAAUUCAAAAUUACACUAUUUUCCUAAGAAAAAAAAAAGUGACACUUAAAAAAAGCAGAGAAUGAUGUCAAUUGAUUACAAGUUAUUAAAUUCCUCUUCCUUUCACCGAGUAUGGUUACACUUGGAACCUCUCAUCUUCUCCAUAUUUAAAUUUCUUAAAAUCUUAUCACUCAACCAGCUGACAUUGGCUUUGUGUGAUUAAUUUCGUUAUGACGAGAGAGUGUUCAACGAGAUUUAAUUCAGGCUGGAAGGAUAAUUAUUUUCCAAAGAAAGAAUAUAGAGACUGUUGACUUAUCAAACCCAAAGCAGCAAGAGCGUAACAGAUUAGGCAUCCUGUGUUGCCUCUGAUUUUCCAAUUGUGCUUUUAAAAUUUUUCUUUAAAAGCUUUCAGUUUUAGAAUUGGAGCUGGAACCAAGCUUGCAGAAAUAGUAAUUCUCUUAUGGCGAGACUUUGAUCCAUCAAUUGUAUCAUUGAGAUGAGAUAACAUUGCUCAACAGUUAUUUCAAGUGUUUUAGCUUGCAGAGAGGUCAUGCAAACUACAUUAGUCUCACAUAACAGAGGUUUGAAAUAGAAUAUGUCACAGCCACUGCUUAUCAUAUAGCUUUUGCAGUUCAUGAUCAAACUCCAAAGCAAAAACGUUGGAGGCGCAUUUUUCAAGAAGACAAAAUGUAAGCAUUCUUAAAGCAGGUCAUACGUGAUACAUUAAGAAUUCUGCUAAGAAUCUCACUUACUUGGCCGAAUUUUAACAUACAGACCAGUAAUUAUUAUAUGGUUUAUGCAUUUGAGUUCCUACUAUUGAAACCGAAACACAUACAAUAGAAUGAUAUUUUACAUCCUCUAUUCAAUUUUAUAACUAGAUGUAUUUUACAUCCAAAGAGAAAAAGUUUAUAGACAUUCCCUAAGAGAUAAGAACACCAAAGCUUUUAGAAAAUAGAAAUUUUCAUAGAUGCUUCUUACGGCCUCUUUACUAAUUAGAACAACAUCCAAUAUAAUGGAAAACAGAGUCUAUAAUUAGUUCACAUUCGCUACUAGAAAAUGGACAUAUUCUAAAUAUACACAAACGUUUACGGAAAAUUUAACUGCACUACAAAGUCUAAACCAUCAGGUCCUCACCUAUUACCAAUAAUGCUCACAGAUCUUUUGCCUUGAUGAUAUGAACUUUAAUUGCGUAAACCAAUUCUCGCUUGCGAAAGAGUUCACACAAGAUGCCAUCUUCUUUCUUCACUUGGUUCCUCUCGCAAAUGUGCUGCCAUCCUUUAAUACACACACGUUCAUCAUUCCACACUGCUGUUUCCGCUAGUAGCUUCCCCGCAUUGUGAUUGUCGAUGAAAUAAAUGUUUUUUUCAAACUUUAAGGAAUAGUCUUUCACGAGUUGUGCAUGGACCAACUGAAUUGAAGGUACAAAAAAAGAAACCAAAUACAUUAAUUAAACAACUUCAAGUUAAAGACAAUAUAUAUGAAGAAAAUCUAUCGCAAAUCUUACCAACUCGAAUCUCCUCUUCUUCACGCCUGUCUCAAAAUAUACAUUCCUUGGAUUAUCCAAAUAUGCCUCUGGAUUUUUGAUCUUCGGCUUUACUGUAAAAGUCCAAAAGUCGGAUGUUAGCUAAAUACAAAUUAAAUGAGCUAGGGUUAAGUAAGUGAUGAAAUUAAGCUUAACUCUAGAAUUACCUCUCUCCCUCCUCUUUUUUGGCGGUUUCACAGAAUCAGAUGUUACAUCCACAUCUUCUGUUAAUUUAGACUUUCCUGGAAAACCUCAAGACACAAGAUAAUCUUACAUUUAUCUCACAUAAAGAUAAGCAUCCCACAAAUGAUCAAAGUAGAGAAAGCUAAAUUUAAUUUACCUUUCUUUUUCAGAUUUUUCACCUUUGGUUCGACGUAAGUGGCUGUGUCUUCGCUAUCCGGAGCAUAAGAACUGUCACUGUUGAAAUUCUCUUCAAAAUCCAAGCCACCAAAAGCUUCAUUAUAAUCACUGUCGCUGUCUUCAUCAGCACCCUCCACAACUUCCUCUUUCAUCUUUCCUGGCAAAAACUCAACAAACAAAACAGGUUGAUCUGUCAGAAAGACCCCAAAUAAUGAUGAAAAAGAGCUAACAAUGCGUUAAAACCUUUGUUGAUGCUUCUCGGGAUUGUUUUGGCCAUCUUGAAUUUAGAACCAGUUUCUGUUUCCGUGUCUGCAUAAAUACUGUCUUCUUCGUCGUCAUCAGACUCCUCCUCCACAACUUCAACUUUCGACUUUCCUGGAAAAAUCACAAGAGUAAAAAAAACAACUAGCGUGUAUAUUAAGCAAAAAUACAUACAAUGGUCUAAGGGAUGAAAAUAAACCCAACAAUGUGUGGUAAACCUUUGUUCUUGGUUCUCGGGAUUGUAUUGGCCACCUCGGAUUCAGAAAUAGCAUCUGUGUCGUUGCUGCUAUCUUCCUCGUCGUCGUCAGCUUCAGUGACUGCUCUAACCUCUUUACAUCCAUCAGGGCCAUAGAUGCUGACCUCGAAAAUGCGGUCUCCAUUAUAGACGAAGGUCAGAAAGUCUCCGUCGCUGAGAGAAUUGUCCUUAACGAAUUUGACCCAUCCUUGUUCAAAAUACACCUCAUCUUGCUUCCUCUUCAUCGCCACGUUCCAUGAGCAACCACCAGUUCCUCGGAGAAUCGCCGUUUUGGGCAAACGAGGUGGAAGUUCAUCAUAGUAGGAAAUGGGGAUCAGCUACUCAACACAUAAGAAGAGGUAAGCAAAGACACAAAGUACAGUAUGAGACUUCGAAAUCCAAUUUAGAAGGAAACCUCUCUCUAUAACAGAGGCUUAUUCACACACAGAAGGUGUGGUUUUUACAUUAGAAGAUUUACCAGUCAAAACAUUUGCAUCUAUUUAUGAGUAGAUACACUAAUCAAGGAGAAAAAUCUGAGUAAAACAAUCAUGUUCAAACAUCUCUAGUGCAAACGUCCAUAAAUGAAAAAUAACAUCUUUCUCAAGUUUACCACUCAGAGGAAAGCAAAAGGAUGAAAAGGAGCAAACCCACAAACAAACAAACAAAAACAAAAGAUAUCCAUUCAAAAGUAAGUCAAAACAAACGCAAGACAUUUGUAUCUAUCUAUGGACAGGAAAAACUAAUCAAGGAACAGAUCUGAGUUUCAAGCAUCUGUCUAGUGCCAAAGUCCAUAAAUGAAACUGAUUCAUAUGUAAAAAAAUAACAUCUUUACUUAACAAAACUAAAAAAUGCGACAACUUCAUCACUCAAAACAGAAGAAUGCAAAAGGGAAGAAACAGAGGAAAACACUAGGAAGGCAAAAGAAACAGAAAAUAAUUAUCUACACAGAAUCUUUCAACGAAGAUGAAGCCGAAGAAACAAACCCAAAUGAUAGUAGUUGCAGUUUAAGAGUGGUCAAAGAGACCAAGACAUUACUAAGGCAAAGAGAGAGAAUUCAUGUUACCAUGGAAUUGGAGCUGAAAUGGGAGAUGAAAACCUUAAAGAAACGCGGAGGAGUAUCAGUGUCAGCCAUUGCGAGAGGAUUUUGAAACUUUGUGAGAGAGACGACAGAUUCUUCACGUAUGAAGUUGAAAGGAAAAUGGGAACAGCUAGAGAGAAGGUGACCAAUGAUAUAGUAGGAGAACAAUUCCUAUUUCGUAAACAUAAUUGGGGCAAAAGUAAAACGUUUUGAGAUUUGAAGGAUGAAAAGGUAAACUAUAUUACUUAUUUUUUUUUUGUCUUUCAAUAUAGCCCUCUUUUUUUCCCUCUCUCCAUUUCCCGCACUCUUUCUUUUUUUUCUCCUUCUCUGUCUCUCCAUUUAUGAAUGAGUCACAUCACUCACAUGUACAAUACAUACGACCAAGCCGGUUUGAACAAUUUUUUUUUUUUUUUUUUAAAGUAUUAGGUCUUGUCUUGAAUUGGCCAAAAGAAACAUUUUGAAUUUGUUUUAGUUCGUACAGAACGUCAGAACCCAUCAAAACACCACUUCAUCUCUUUCUACGGUUUUUUUUUCCAAAUCAUUUCAUCAAAAUAACACUUUGAAUUUUGUUUUUCAUUUCAGAACAAUUAAUAUAUAUGUUUACUGUAUCCUUUCAUAUCGGCCACAUGGGUCAUCUCCAACUGUAAAUCUGUAAUCACUUUUAUUUAUUUUUAUUUUUUUCUCACACGUAUGUUGCUAAUCCUACCCUUGAAGAUGAACUUGUAUUUAUACACACACAUAUCAUACAAAUAUAUUACAUACAAAAAAAAUGAAUUUCCAAUUUUGGAAGAACCUAAGAGGACAAGCUGGCCUCGAUGCUGGUAGUGGACAUCUCUUGGAACAUGGAAGUUUCUUCAACAUGCCACUUGAGAAUCUCUCUCGCAUACCUCAGUGCAUUGUCCACAGCAUCACUCUCCAAGCUCACUUGAGAAACAAACAGCUUCGGCCUAAAGCUCCUUCCACGCAUCGAAAAGGGUCCCACGAGUGAGUCAUACAGUCUCUUGAAUUGGAACCCGAUGUAAUGAAAAGCACGCUGAGCCAUCGGAGGGUUGUGUCUGCUCGUAUGGUUCUGGCUGAUCAACGGGUUGAAGUCUUCAAACCACUCACAGGUUCUUAGAGGUACCUGCUCGAUUUUUUCUUCUAGAAGAUCGAAUUUGGUUAGAACCAAAAGGAACCUUUUGUUAGCUAGGCUCGGGUGAUUCACCAUGCUCUCAAAAAGCUGUUUGUUUGCAAUCAUCUUGUUCACACGAAUCCCGUCACCGUCUUCAAUGUAUUCUCCAUAAUCAGUUAGUGAGACGCAGAAUAUCACCAAGUCAGCAUCUUCAAACAUUUCCAGCCAUUUCCAGUUGUCUCCAAGGCUUCUUGGAUUUAACCGGAUGAGUUGGUACCUAGAAAGAAACAGAGAGAAAGAGAUUAAGUUCAACGCCUUUUUUCUUCAAAUAGUCUUGAAUGCAACAAGGAAAAGUAAUAGGAACUAACUUCAUGUUUGGAUCGUGCUGAUAAUCGCUCUCAAGAGAGUCUUCUUGAGUUGUUGAGGGGAAUGAGAAGUCCACACAAGAAAGUCCUUCCAUAGAUGAGAGUCCUUCCGCUUGCAAUAUGUCCAUAUCAGAAGGUUCGUAUUCUGAUCUUGAGAUCUCAAGAAUCUGAUUAGAAACAAAUUUAGUUCAGUCUUCUUUUUGUCCCCUUUAACAAAAGUGCUAAGGAACCUCGGAAAAAAAAAAACGUUUAAAGACAAGAAACCAUUUGAUUUAAAAACUUACUCGUUCAAGAAAAUAGACGGCGUUUCUGGGAAGUGUUUCGCGAAGUCUUUUGUAGGUGGCAUGAAUGGCUGGUACUCUCCAGAGAUCUGCAAUGGUUUGUGCAUUUUCGCGGCUUGAUGCUGGAAAUAUCUUCAGGUUUCCUUCUUCCUUUUCUUUCAGAAGCCAAUCUGAAAAAUGUUUUAGCCUCGGGUUAAUUGAGCUAGCUGUUUUAGCACUGGUCUCAUCUCCCGUAUCGCCUAAAUCACAAGAAAUCGAUCAGUGUCUCACAAUAAUCAAAUCGUUAACUGAUGUUUGUUCGGUCUACAAUUUUUUACCUGUUUGUUCCGAGGACUGGUUAUUGUUCAUCUCUACUUCAAAUCUUUCGUGUGCCUCAAGAACCAUCGCCAGAUAAGCAUAGAGAUUUGUUUGGAUUAUGAAUUUGAUUCUUUCACGUUCGUCUUCAGAAAAUGAGACUCCAUAGAGAGACCUUGCCUGAAACAAAAGCAGUCAAUACCAGAUCGUCUACUAGAUCGAGUGGGUGGCAUUAAGAUGAAUAUAAGCUCACUUGUUUGUAAAUCGUAGUGGCGCCACAUUUCUCGUUACCAAUCAGAAGAAGCUUGUUAAGCAUUUUCUGCGUAUAAAUGGGCUCAUCAUUUGGUUCUACCGCAGAUGAAGUCGGAGGCAUUGGAAGAGAGAAUACAGCACAAGCAAGCCUAGCUCUUUUCUGAAAAACAAAAUAGCAUCCAUAAUUGUAUACGGUUUAUAUUCAAUAUACUGUACGUUGAUAACAAGAAAACCUUGUGCCCGAGAAACCAUACCUUAUUCCAAAUGUUCCCGAUGAAACGUUUCUGGCCUUCUUCCUGGUAAGUUCCAUCUGCAUCGACCCAAAAAUGAGGCUUUCCUUCACAUUGCACCCCAGCCACCUACAUCAAAGCAAAGGGAGGCAUUCAGUUUCACAUGAUAAAAUUAGAGGAGAACAAACAACACUAAUGCUUAAGGUCGUCCAGCCAAAGAACCUUGAGCAUCAUGAGCUCUGCCUUGGUUAUUUCCCGGUUAUUAAUGAAAAUCUCAGUGUCACCAUUGCUUGCGUUCUUCUUGAUGUUACUCCCUCCUAUGUUCAUGUGAGGACUUAUAAUCUGGCAAGGUUUCUCUCCUACCUGUAAUAAACACAUAGAAACUCUGAUUAAGCUGAGCAUAAACCCGAGAAUAAAUACACAGAGAAAAAUAUAGGCAAAAAAUCCUACCUUUCCCCAGUAGCCAGCAACCUUAUCAUACCAAUAGUCACCGGGUUUAAGCUUUUUGGGUGGAUUUGGACAAGUCUGCAACAUGUAAAGCUCUUCUUCAUCUAAAGGCUUGUCAUUGACAGCGAUAAGCCGUGAAGGCAAUUGGUUCGCCUUGCAGGAGAUCUCAGCACUCAUGACUUGUUGAAGCUCUGAAUCCGUGAGAAGACGCUUCAGCAUUCUUGAACAUUUUCCGAGACUCCCUCUCUUGGACUCAUCGAUUCUGAUACCAAUGCAACUCUGACACUUUCUUCCUUCAGGCAUCGCACCCAUGGCUCUUCGCACACAGUUGAAACAAUAUUUGGCAUCGCAGACAAUGCAGACUUCCUUCUCAGUGAACCGGUUUCCCAUCAAACAUCUGUAGCAAGACCCUCUUUUACCUUUCCUCUCAGCUCUAGGCGUUGCAGCUAUACUCUCCCCGUCAGAAAUGUAAGAGCUUUCAUCACAUUCACUACCCUCACUUGGUACAACGAACUUCACACGAUUUACAGUUUCGCCAUCCGCCUCCACUCCAUUGGAACAAUCCGAAGCUCUUAAAUCAUCUUCUGUAUCCUCUCUUACUUCUGCAGAUGAUGGUGAUGAUGAUAACGGUAAAUCAACCGCUUCUUCUGCUACAUCCAACCUCUUCGACGAUGAUGAAGACGAUGAUGAUGAGCCAGAAACCACAUGAUGUCCUUUCAAAACAACGCUUGAAGUAGCUGCGGAUUCAGGUGGUUUCUCGGUGACCCUAUUAGUCCUAGCGAGAGGUUGGACCACCGGGUAAGAGAUAUCACCAGGCAAUGAUGAAAACGAAAUGGGAAGAGCUGUAGGAAUCUGAUCAACUUCGACGGGAUUAGCUCGUGGCACGUUAGCGAUAAAAGGGCCUUUAUACUCACUUGCGAAUGAGUAAUCAAUUUGAAAACUAUUGCUAUUUUCAUCACCAUCGUCACUAUCGCGAUUAUCCCUUUUAUGAAUCGGUGAUGCUAAAGGUAAUAACUUUUUGAAAACUGCAGCCAUCUUCUUACCAAAUUCAGCACAAAGACACACAUACACACACAAAAACCCCUAAUUCCUAUAAUUCCCUAAAUCAGAAACUAUCUAUCCCGGCAAUAAAUCAUGAAUAGUGCCUAAGAGAAUAAGAUAGAACACCCUAAGCCAUUAAUGGCUUAAAUAAUCAACCAAUGAAUCGCAAACCGCGUGAAUAAAAAGAAGAAAUAUAUAUGAUUGAUCACAGAAAGCUCCUUUAGCUUAAGGAAAGGAAAACAAAGAGGAAUAGAUUUUCCGGGAAAAGUGGCAACGGGAGAAAGAAAAGGAAGGAAUAAAAUUUCCGGGGAGGGGAAUUGAACAAGUGAACAUAAAGAAGAAAGAAAGAUGGUUGGAUCGUCUUCUCUCUCACUAGUAAAAGACGAAGACUAGACAAAAAGGGAAGACUUUCUCUUUGUUUUUCUUUUCUCUGAACCAAAAGGAAAUUUGGACUUAUUUUCCGGGAAAAUUCGUUCCGUCAACGCGGGUUUGGGGUUAAAAACGAUGCGUUUGGAAAGGCGUUGAGAGGGUCAAAGAGAGGGCAAUUUCGUAAAACCGCAUUCAUUCAGUACCCGGAAUUACGCGGUUAAUAGGAAACCGGAGGUAUUAUUUCUGUUUUAAAACCUUUUAAUUUGUUAUUUCCUCCGUUUCACAAAGUGUCAUUUUUUUUUACAUAUAUUAAAAAAAUUAUUAAAAGUAUAAUUUUGUCCCUUAUUAAUACAUUAAAUGAUUUGUUUUUAUCUAGUAAAUACAUUAAAUUAAUAGAGUUAAAACUGAAAUAUUGUUUAAAAUUUUGCAUUGAAAAUAUAAAACGAUACUCUUUCUGAAACAAAAAUAAAACCUUAAAACGACACUCUUUGUGAAACGGAGGAAGUAUAAUCAUAUGAUAAUUCGGCUGUGGAAAUAUUUUCGGUUUUAGUGAUUGAUUACAAAAAUAGUAAUUUUAGCAUUUAAUAUUUGAAAUUUUCGAAUAUGGAAUUUCUGACAGGAGUUCACAUUUUUAUUAAAGAGUUUUUUUGUCUUUCUCAUAUAUAGAUUGUCCAAAUCUCUAAAUAGUAACUUCAUAUUCACAAAGAAUAAUAAUUUCUAACAACUUUGGUGGACAUUUGGUGGUGCUUGAUUGUUACUUUAAAGUAUGCAGAUUGGUUAAGAGAAUUAUUGAAGAAACAUUUGACGGUUAAAAACUUGUGUUUGUUUCUAAUUGGAAAAAACUUUAACUUGUUGGCUAGACCUUGAAAACCAGUCUUCUACAAUAUUAAAUAACUGAAAAUUAGACAUUAAUCGUCAAUACCACUCACCUCACAUACAAAACUUUGCACGACGAGAUAUUUGUUCUUCAUAACAAAAAAAAACUAAAAUCUUGAACAGAAUAAUGUCUAAGAUCUUUAAAUCCUAUACUAUAUAGCAAAUUCAAACACAUUCAAACUGAUUAGAAUUGCAAUUAUGAAAAGUAGACCUACUGGUUCAAUCGUCACGAAACACACAUCGCUACACAUAUAUCCUUAGGUUACUUCGAAAAGUAAUUACUUCGUGACAUUAUAUAUUUUGCUCUCUACAUGAAAAGAAGCUCAAGAAAAAAAAUAAUAUGAAAUAAGAUAACUACAAUGAACUAAGAUAAGAAGUUCAUCAAACCUCUUACAACAUGUUAGCAAGAUCUAAUUGGCUAGAAAGAAAAAAAGUUAUCGUCUUAUCGAAGAUAUUGAUCCUAAAUAUAAGUUAGAAGACCAAUUCUAACAAAGAGAAAAACGACUCAUCAAAUUCCAAAUUAUGAAGUUGCAAACACGACAUAGAACACAACGAAAACAAACAUGUUUGAUUCAGUCUUUGUUCUUGUUUAUUUUACAAAUUUAGGGGAAUAAUGAUACAAUUUCGUUUUUUAAACAAUUUUCCUGUUAGGAAAAAAAAAAAAGAAGAAGCAAAACUCAUUACGUGAAAACCAUCAACCCCACACGUUGACUCCAUCACCAGCUGACGUGGCGAAAUCCUGUUCGCUGACUUAGUCAUAAAAUUGAAAACAAUCAUUCGACUCUUUCCCCGGCGUGAAGACGGUCGUCGUGACUGAUCAACGACGAGACAUUUUCGUAAAUAAUCACACUAUACUCUGAUCCACUUCUUAUUUUUUUAUUUUUCCAAAUUGCGUGAACUCCACGCGCCACUCCCUUCGUGCGGAGAAGAAAAGCUCUUCCGGCCAGAAGACGCGGAUGGCUCAUCCAUCUCUCUCCACGUGGCCAUUUUCUCCGACACACGCCACACUUUCACCGACUUGUCCAAACUUCCACUGUAUAUAAUCCACUUCCGGUCUCCCUCGGCGACAGAAGAGGCUUUUGCUCCCUUACGACGGCAAGCUCGCUCCUCCUCCACGGCUAAACACUUGACGGGUCCCAUGUGGCCCGUCAAAACAGAUAGACACUGAUGUGACCCAUCAGACGGUUCCCGCCUCCAGACACAUAUGUUCUUGUCGGCUGAACCACUCAACAACAAGUUCCCCGCAAGAGCGAGACAUAGCACGGCGGAUUUGUGCCCUUUGAGUAUUCCACCGACGAAUAUACGCUUUGAACGCUCCCAAUAGUUCACUAGACCGUCCGAUGAACCGGAAUAUACGAUCGAAGACUUUGAUUUUACGGCCAAUGCCGUGACUGCGUUUUCUUGUUUGAGCAAAAUUUGAACCAACAUGUGCUUUGUUCCUUUGCCUUGCAUCUCACGUUUCCACACUUUAACCGUGCCAUCCGCAGAUCCCGUGAACACCAAGUCAUCGAAACCGGACAUAACCGAGUUUAUGGCGUCAUCGUGCGCAUGUAUCGACUCCAAACAUUUUGAAUCCGAGAUUCUCCACACUUUGAUCGUCGUGUCCCAAGAACUCGAGUACAACAACCCUAGCUCCACGUCCAGGCUAAGACUCGAUACGGCGUCGUUAUGCUUAGUCUUCACGGAGUUUCUGUUGCGGCGCACCUCCAUGAAAUGCUUAGGGUUUACGGAGCUCUUGACCAUCGAUUUAAACGUAGGCAAUGUUCCAACCCGUUUGUGCUUUCCCGGUUUUCUCUUUGAAACCUUCCAAAUCCGGAUCUUCCCGUCCUGAUGGCCUGUAAAGAUCCGGUCUCCGAAUAUCACAAUGGCCUUGAUUAGCCCACUACUUGAUUUAAACCCGGCGUGAUCCUUCAAAUUCUUCCAAACCCUAAUGUUCUUGGAGUCGGAGCCGGUGUAAAGAAGGUCACCAGAAGCGGCUAGCGAGUAUAUAUGUCCUUCUUCGCGUACAAUAGAACCAAUGAGACCGUUGGUCUCGAGGGAGUUGUCUUCGUUGGAAUCAGUGGCCCAAGGGGGAGACAAGCGGGCCCAAGGAGACAUUACGCAAGGAGAACCUUCUCCGCUGGUCGGACCGCUGCUCAUGGUUGAGGCUGAGACGCUGCUAAACCGGUGGUGAGUUAAGUUGGUGUUGAUAAUGAUUGGCUCUUCGGGAGGGAAUAUUCCGUCGUGGUCUGCUUUCAAGAGAUCACCAAAUUUAGGCCUUGGUUUGCGAGCAUUAUCGCUAAGGUCGUGGCUGAGAUUGUGGCGACUGUGAUUGUUGUUAUAUGGAUCGGUUUGGAGAUCAACGACCAUGGUACCACCUGUUUCGUUCCUCAUCUCUUUCUUAAAAUCCUUUUUACAAAAGUCAAAUGCUUGAUGUAAACAAAGAAGAAAAGGUUAUAGAAUAAUGAUAAAAUCUCUCCUUACUUUUUUUUUUUUAGCUAUGAAUAAGAAAGUUGAGGGAUAAUGUGAGUUUGUAGAUUUUGGUUGGCAAAGAGGGACAGAGAUUUUUAUGGAGAUUUUGACGGGGAAUUGGAGGGUCUAGAGCAUAUUUUGACUUUUGAGAAUUUUUGUUUUUGUUUUGUCAACUGACUCUUGGGUAUUUGUUUAUGGAUUGCGAGAAUUGAUCUUAUAAAUGCACACUUAUAUAUACACAAAGAAAUAUAUCAAAAGAUUGGUGGUCAUGUGAUAUGUGGUGGGGUGCUUCCCACGUGGUUGUUACUAGAGGAAGCUUCUUUGAUUUUUCCAAAGUAUAUUAAAAUACUAAGCUUAUGAACUAUUAUAUAUCUUCUCUUCGAGAAAAAGAGAGAAUCGAAGUUACUUUACUAUUUUGCUUGUAUUUUGUAAACACUAAUCGUUUGUCAAAAAUUAUACCUCAUAUUAUUCUCUUGCUAAUGUUAAAACAUAGUUCUAUAGCAUAGAAGCAUACUCUGACAAUAUAUUUUAUGGUAUGAUUAAUUAAAUCCAUCAAAAUUUUGUGUUAUUGGGUUUUACAUAUAAGAACAUUCUUUGAGUAAUGCAUCUGAGGUUCUAGAUACAUUGGAAUAUUAGGUACGCAAGCCGAAAGGUAUUUAAAUCUACUCCAUAGCUCAUUUCACACAUAAAGCUUUACUGCCUAAAAUGCUUUUUUUUUUGUUAAAGAUUAUUAAACGAAUGUACCAUAUUGUCAAAGCAUUUGUUGUCCUUGUCCCGCAAGACCACAGUCUUACUAUAUCCAUAAAAUCUUAUUAAUAAUGAAUUAUAUAAUCACACAUAUAUUUUUAUACCAAAAGACUAUACACCACUUGACACGAUUAGGCAAAUUAAUUUAGGCAUGUUUCCACUAUCUCUUAAUUGUUAUCUAUAUAUGCUUAUCUGCAUUAAAUUGGCUUUUUACAUGACAAAUCGCUCUUUUGUUCUUGCUACAAAGUUGCAUCGUAGCAUUAAACAAGUUUGUAAUGUCGUUUGCGAACUUUUGUUUCGAUAAAAAGCAUGAGAUCAAAGAGUUUUCACAAAGCCUAAGGGCCAAUUAGCUACGUCGCCCAUAAUUAAAAAUAAAACUCGAAUUCAAUCACAAAGUGAAGCCCAUGAAUGACCCAGUAGACAUGAUCUGUGUAGUUUUUGCAUUGAACAUAGAGAGUAUCGUGAGAGGAAGCGAUAGCCGGAGAAGAUCCGAGAUUCUAUUAUCCCGAUGAACAACUUCUGAAUGAUUUAUUUCUUUGGCCACUCUAAUACAAUAAGAAAAAGCACAAAGAUUCUCUACUUUUAAAGAGCGAACACAAACUCAUCAUGAAGUUCGAACCAGUUUCUACUUUAUCCACACUUCUCUUGUCUUCGACCGUAAUUUAUUACAAAUUAUGGGUUUCUUCUGAAAAUUACUUGGGGGACCAAAUCGUAAAAAGUUAAAAUCCUUUGAGACGUCAUGUCACGUCACGCAGAAAAUGAAAAAAAGCAAUGAGAGAAAGAGUUGUACUCUCUUUUCAGAGAGUCUUAAUGUUGCUUUGACUCAACUUCAAGCUACUCUAUCUCCUACCAUAACCCUCAGAUUACAAUUUUAGGUCUUCUCUUCUCUCUGAUUCCCCAGUUUCUCUCACUUUCUCCGACACAGUUCCAAGAUCUACUCUCAAUGGCUACCACUGAUUCCCUCCCUCGUUUCUUCAAACUUUUCCUCUCCCAUUUCAGCUCACACUCCAUGGUAAGAUAUUCUUUCUCGAUUUUUCUUCUUCUGUCAUUUUUUGUUGUUGCUGGAAAGAGUCUCUUAGCGUAACAUCUCCAUUGCUGGUGUGAAUGAGAGGUGAAACAAUGCUGAAACUCCUGUGAUUUGCAUUUAUCACUAUGGGUUUAUCUGCAUUUAGGUUCUGAGUGGUAAAAUGCUAACUUUUUGUAUAAAUCAGCCUUAUCUAUGGUUGUAUUAUGUCAGAUUAGUUUAUGUUCGCCUAGGUAGUGAAGUUUGUUUUGUAUGCUUUGAAUUUGGUCGCAUCGGAAAAGUCCACUCUUUUAAACUGUCCGUACGCUUUUUCGAGACCAAGUUUUCUUCUUGUGUGUGGAAUGGUCAACCUGACUCUGGCUUAGAUGACUCUGACUUAACCUUAAAGACACUCUCUUUGUGUUAUUGGCAUUGAGCAGGCGAUCCCAGCGUCCUACUACGACAAGCUACCACGUCGUUUGCCCAAAACAGCGCUUCUCCAAGGAACCGGCGGUUGCUUUUGGGAACGUUGCGAUGAUUAAGAUACGAGAUGAGGUGUAUUUUGGAGAAGGCUGGGCCAAAUUCGUUGAGGAUAACCAGCUUAAAGAUGGGAGACUUUUUGACAUUUGUUUAUGACGGAUCUCGCGUUUUCGAGGUCAAGCAUCUAUGGGAAGUGAGCAUGUAAAGAGAUAAGAGCCGUUGCUCAAGUAAUAGAAGACGACCGGUGACAACGGUGGUGAUGGUUCUUCUUCUCCCGACACGGUGACAAAGAAGACAGUGUUCUUAUUCUGAGCAGCGACGGAGAAGAGGAUUCCGACAACGGUGACAGUACUUAUUCUCCCGACAACGAAGACACAGUCACUGUGGAAAAGUCGAGGAAGAAAGGUAAAACACAAUUACCAGCUUUCAACACUUUAAAGGAUUAUUUCUGUGAUCUUUAUGUUUAGAUAUAGACCUGUUUUGUCUCUUGAAAUUUUACAGCAAAGUCCAGCUUAGCAAAAGCUGUUGGGUCAACCAGUAACAGGUCUUCUUACUCGGUGACAAGGACGAACGGUAAACUCAUUUUGCAUAAUUUCAUUAUCAUUUAAUUAGGUCAGUGAUUUGUGUGAUACUUAUAUUGAAAUACAUUAGCUUUCACCACUUUGAUCAUUUGUACGAUGCUUAUGUUUAUCUAAAAUGGCUUUUGUGUCUUGAGGUUCUCCAGGAAUGUCCAAAACGGAGAGGAAAGGUAACUUGAGUUAUGCCUAAUUUGAAUUUCAUCGUUUAACUCUAGAUCACAAACUUGUGUAUGCUUAAUAGAAAUGUAUUCCCUUUGGGAUUUUCACAGUGAAGCCCAAGAUCAAAAAGCCGGAGGCAUAUUUGGACAAUCCAAAGAAUGUCUGUUUUGAGACGAGCUUGAAACUUAGGAAAUUUGAGCUGAUAAGAAUUUCAAUAAAGUUUCUUUAUCGAUAUUUCUUUUAAAGAGCUGUUCAAUGUACGUUUUGUUUGCUUUUGUACCUUAAAUACAGUUAGUUCCUGGACAACUAGUUCGAGACCAUUCCUUGAAGUUUCAAGACUACAUUGAUACAUGGACAAUCACAACGAGGAGAAAAUAAGAGGGAAAGUGUCACUGUGGAAUGCAAAACGUGUGUGUAUUAAAGGAUGGCAGCACAUUUGCGAGAGGAACCAAGUGAAGAAAGAAGAUGGCAUCUUGUGUGAACUCUUUCGCGAGCGAGGCUUGGUUUACGCAGUUAAAGUUCAUAUCAUCCGCGAGAUAAAUCUUUAAAACGUUAUUAGUAUGAGUAAAGAGGGAUUUUACGUGAUCAUCUCUAUGAUUUUAGUUUGUUGUGAGCUCUUGGAAAGAGCGAGUUUUAUAACAUGACGAACCAGUUAUUUCCAUAAGAGAAAACAAUUGUUCUCUUUUUUCUUUACUUUAUCUUAUUAAGUUAUUGAAAGACUUCCUUUAGACCUCUUUUGAUCUCAUCUAUAUCCAAAAGUUGUAUUAUCCUACAGGCUACAACACUUGAACCAAUUCCGACUGAUUUUGUCGCUUUCAAAAUUAAAUUGAUGCAUCGAUGCAUAAUAGCUGAUUUUUAAAAAAGUAAUUUUAUUAAAUUAGCGACCAGUAAAUCUAUUGACUUGCAAGCUUACACUUCAAAGGCAUUGAAGCAAGCACCUGAGUUUAUAGGCUGAAACCAGAAAUCUACAUAUCAGAAGAAGACUAGAACAAGGAAAAAUAGGCCAUUACUAGAGUUGUAUGAAACCAAAAACUAUAAGAAAGAAAAUAAUUAGUCUAAGUCACGACUCACGAAUCUUGAAGAAGAUAUAGGCAAACCCUUUUUUGCUCUGUCGUAUUAUAUGGACAAAAAAAAGAGGAUUUGAUUUGAGUUUGAGUUCAGUUUUGGUCGAUGAAAUCAGCAGGCAAGUUCAAGUCCAAUAAAGUGACUUUGCUGUUUAUGAAACUUCCUUCUUUCUUCAGACGUUUCUGUGAAGAAGAGCUAAUGGUGUCUUCCGAGUUCCUCGAUCCUGAAGCUUGCUCAGGCCUCGAUGUCUCCCCUGUAAAAAGAACAUGGCUCAUUAGGAUUUGAUUCAUUGGUUCAUCAUUACAAGAAUGUUAUGAUAACACAACAGAGGGUUAAUUACCACUUGUGCAAUUACUAUCCAAAGGUUGGAAUUUGUCAGCACCUUUAGAAUUCCAGGUAGCAUAAAACUCAGCUGCUUGUUCGAUCCCCUUUGAUCUGUAAGGUGCGAUGUUGUGGAUACCACGUUGGAGAGAACCAAGUAAGUCAUUCUCAAUGCACUCGUACAUUUUCUUGCAGAGGCUAUCGACCGCAACAGACAAAUUGAUGAUUUGAAUCCUUAUCUCCAUGACUUUAUCAUCAAUAAACUCAUCAAAGGGCUCCUCCAAGAACUGGGAAAGUUUCUCAACAUUACCCUCUAGUUGCUGCUGCUGAUCCUCAAACAGAUUCUUCUUUAUCUCUCUCUCCUCAGGGCUCAUCUCAUCUUUGAACAGCUCCUCACCAAACAUGUAAUAUGCGAAAGCAUACGAAUAUGAAAGAAUCCGUCUUGAUCUGAAUAACCUGUUGAGUCCGUUGGUGACCCAGCUGAAGUCUUUAAGCUUCAGUUCCUUCUUUUCUGAAUUUGACACUUUUUCGAGGAUAGUAUCCCUAAGUUUAUCCUCUAGCUUUGAUGAGUCCGUAUGUGCUUUGUAUCGGUGAUGAUAAUGUGUAUACCUAUUUAAAUCCUUUUUCGCUCUUUCCAUCUGCAUUUCCUUGCCAUCUUCGUACCGGCCACAACUGUGACCAGCGAUACUUCUAUAAGUGUGUUCCUUUCCAGUAGCUCCACCACACAGCCAACUGUACAAAUUACCAACCAAACAUGAGACACUUCACCAGUUUGACAUUUUUGCUCGUCUCAAAGCAUAGAAACUCAAAUGCAAAGAGGAACGGAGAGCAAAGGAGAAAACAAAGGAUAGAGUUCUUACCAAAAACACUGCCCACAAAUACACCUUACGAGAUUGCAACCACCAUUCUUUUCCACGGGUUUGAAACAUUUGGGACACAGCUUUGUGUGAACGGUUAUCCAAUUAACUGUCUCCGACUCAUCUCGACACUUCUUUCUCCAAAGCUCCCACAUCAAACAAGAGCAAGGGGAAUGGGCUUGACACAGACAACUGAAGCAGAACUGAAGACCACAGGAACAUUCAACUUCGCACAACUUGUCAUCCUCAGCUCGUAUUGCAUUCCCACAAUGGGGAACGCUGGGACACCACUUGACCAUUUUGUUGUCUUCGAUGUAUGACUCGAGAAGGAAACGAUCAAACUUCUCAGCUAGAUCUGGACGCUUUUUACUGACUAGAUUCCUGACAACAUCUUCAUCACAAAUAGAAAAGCAUCUAUGAGCCAUGCAUCUAAUCCUUUUGCUCUGACCUUCAGUUAUCUGCACAGUAAAAUGCUCCGUCCAACCUAAACCAAGCAAGAAGUGCGUUAUAUCAUACAUCUACCUCUAAAAUAAAAAUACCUCAAAUUUUGGCAAAAUGGACUCACAAUUAUUGCAAAAGCAAUGGCCACAGUCCAUUCUCGUAAUCUGAUCACCUGGUACAUCCUCUAUGCAGACAUCACAACUCAUCACUGAAGAUUGAGAAAAGGAAGUGUUGUCAUAUUGAUAGUCGAACACAGUCACACCAGCUCCAGAAAACAAGCUAUCUUUUCCUUUCUCAACAAAGACAGCAAACAACUUCUCUACAUCCCACUGGUGAUGAAUGAGAAGAGUCCGCGCAUGGUGCUCCUUAAUCGAUAACAAUUCCAUUACCCUUAGCAAAUCUUCUCUCUGCAUAAAGAAUCAACAACUCAACCAAUUAGAGCUUCAAAUUGAA
Molecule: long non-coding RNA, 48085 nt
Filed under: Eutrema salsugineum
Lineage: Eukaryota; Viridiplantae; Streptophyta; Magnoliopsida; Brassicales; Brassicaceae
Description: long non-coding RNA (ESAL_LNC002030)
Rfam family: tRNA (bases 24499-24571)
Source: RNAcentral